Molecule: long non-coding RNA, 68697 nt
Filed under: Malus domestica (apple)
Lineage: Eukaryota; Viridiplantae; Streptophyta; Magnoliopsida; Rosales; Rosaceae
Description: long non-coding RNA (MDOM_LNC009719)
Source: RNAcentral
GAGCGCCGUACCUGGGCACCAAAGUCACCACCACACUCUCAUCAUCUUCAGCACCCAAAUCCUCCAACAGGUCCGUUAACCCCAACCUUAAACAACUCUUGCUCUUUUCCUUCUGCUUAUGUGGCACACUCACAAAACUCCCAGCAAACUCGCUCUUGUCGGGUCCACUCGGUGCCGCAUCCUCAUCGUCCACGUCAUUCACAUACACAUCAAACUUCACAGCCACAUCUUUGUCAAGCUCAAUCCCCUGAAUCACCAAUAUCUCCUCCUCAUCCUCUUUCUCCUUCUUGCUCCUCUUCUUCGGCUUCGGCCUUGACACCACCGUACUUAUCUUCGUCUCCAAAUUUAUUGGAAAAUCUUUACCCGCCACCACCUUCCCUGAUGACGUCGUCUCAGCGGCCUUCGCCACUCCAGCCGCCUUUGCCUUUCUCGCAAGCUUUGUCCGACGUGGCGUCGGUCUAGACUUGAGCCAUGGAAUCUCAACAUCUUCAUACGUAUACCCUAGCUUUUUAUUAUCAAGAGUGUCCCUCACCGUGACCCUAACAAGCUCAGCAUUCUCGUCAUAAAACAAAAACCCCGUAUCCAACCAAUCCUUAUCGUUAAUAUCUUUAUUUUUAGUCCCUAUACUUUUCCAAAUAUUCCACAUUCGAUCUAUAUUCGAAUGGUGCGAAAAAAAUAUUGGAUCCCUUCCAGCGGAGUAAAAAUUCCCCAUGUCUUCAAAUUAGGUUGCGUGUUAUCUCCGGUCCAUAAAUGAACCGGACCAUGUGGGGUCGUUUCGAUUGAACCGCCCCCUGGAUCUGGUUCAGUGCCAGCCCUGUAGGGCGAACCAAAGAACAACAGCGGUUUCUUGGAGUUGGAAACCAUCUGCCUAUACAUAAUUUUGAGGUUGGCUUCGAUUUGAGCAUCGUUGGACAUUGUUUCAUCCGUGCCGUUGAAGUCAAGAUCGAUGAGAGUCGGCGGCUGAUGGCUGGCAGCGCGAAGCUCGUCGUAAAGCGGAGAGUCCGGGUUAGCGAACAAGGCAGGGAGUUGCAUGCCAGCUGGCGCGUCCCAGUUCCAAAACGGCAACGCGAACGUCGGAUCGUCUAUGAGUUUGGCCAAGAUUCUUUCGUGGAAGUAUAGGUAGUAACGAUGGAAGGGGAAGAAAAGCCAGCAUUGAUGGAUUUGGAGCUCGAGGUUGGGGAAGCCGACUUGGUCGUACGCGCCGUCGCAAUAGGCACAGUGGAGAUCGGCUUGCUGGGUGAAGCUACGCGGAUCGUCGUCCGGGAGGGCUUUCAUGAGCUCGAUGGCUUUUGAAUAUUUUUCGAUGUAGGCUUUAUCCACGGUGUGAGCUGCCGGCCUGACGCGGAGUUUGGUAGGGGAGGGGAAUUUGAAGUCUACGAUUUUUUGGGACGUUGGCGGGCAACAGUUGGUCGGGACUGCUCCACUUGGAAAGUCCGCAGCUCCGCAUUUGGCUAGGUCAGGCGGCGACACUGGCUUUGCAACAGCGAAGGGGUCGCUGCCAAGACCAGCCACUCCACCGUAUAGGCUUCCGAGACCUAUAAGUACAUUUCUUCUGUCUAGGUUUACUGGAGAAGGGUUUUCAUGGUCGUGAUCGUUGGAGCUAGUGGAAGGGUUUUUGUUUUGGUCACUACUAUUAUUUGUGGCUUUGCAUGAGACAGCUUGUAAAUUGGAAUGCCUAGGGUUUCCAAAUGAGGAUAUUCGGUGAUACUUUUGGGAGAAAGGGGAGAGGAAAGUUGUGGGGAUGAUACUUGUGGCGGAGGUGACGAGUGGAGCUGACAUAGAAGCCAUGGUUACUUUUGACUCUGAAUAAUACGUUGUAUUGGCUUUGCUUUUAUAAUGUGUUCUAGGUUGUACUUUUCUUUGCACAGGUGGCAGGCCGUACACACGUGGUCGGUCCUUAAGGGUUUGACGAGGAAUACUACGUAGUCAUUUAGUACAGGACAACCAUACACUAUAGCAAGUGGCAUGUAUUUAGAGAUCGAGAGAGAAUUGGGUAAGGUUCACGAGGGAUUUGUAGUUUCAGAAGGUGAAUUGGUUUUGGUCUUCUUGUGUACCAAUAAUAUUUACUUAGUCAUUUAGUGCAGGACAACCAUGCACUAUAGCAAGUGGCAUGUAUUUAGAGAUCGAGAGAGAAUUGGGUAAGGUUCACGAGGGAUUGUAGUUUCAGAAGGUGAAUUGGUUUUGGUCUUCUUGUGUACCAAUAAUAUUUACUUAGUCAUUUAGUGCAGGACAACCAUGCACUAUAGCAAGUGGCAUGUAUUUAGAGAUCGAGAGAGAAUUGGGUAAGGUUCACGAGGGAUUGUAGUUUCAGAAGGUGAAUUGGUUUUGGUCUUCUUGUGUACGGCUGUGGGUCUGCUGUCCCGGACUCUCUGUCUCAUUUGUGUCUUAUUUUUUAUUUUUUCACACGUGUCUUUUACUUAACGUCAAAUCAUGAUAGCAAUGUUAUGCAAUUGGGAGCUAAACGACCGAUGCUUUUAUUUUUUAGUUUGCUUUUUUUCCAGAUCUGAUCAAAUCAUGAUAGCAAUGUUAUGCAAUUUUCAAGAGGGAAAGAUGCACCUGGGAGAGAAACGGUACGGUGACUUCUAAAUCACCGUCCAACAGAACAAUUCUCAGUAGAGACUACUAGAGAGAGAUGCACCUCACCAAUGAAAAAUUUAACUGCAAAAAUUCUGGGUAUUGGGUAAGGAAAUUCGGUGAUACUUUUGGGAGAAAGGGAAGAGAGAAGUUGUGGGGAUGAUACUUCUCGUGGAGGUGACGAGUGGAGCUGACAUAGAAGCCAUGGUUACUUGACUCUGAAUACUACGUUGUAUUGGGUUUGCAUAUAUAUAUAAUUAGGAUUGAAGGAUGUAGAGCUUAUUUUGUUAUGUAUUUUAACGAUUUAAGUGCUUAUCUUUUAGGUUUUCUCUUAAACAUCAUGUCUAUAAAAAAUCACCAAAAUUCAAACCAUAUGACCAUUAGAUCCAUAGUCAUUUUAGUGUUUAUUUGUAAAAUGUAUUCAUUCAUUUUCUUCACUACAAAUGAGUGAAUUAAUGAUUUUAGAAUUUGUCUAAUUUUUUACAUUGAUUAUUUAUGAAUGUUGAAUUGAAAUUUAGACGAUUCAAAAAUAGUUGAUAUGCAUUACAAAAUGAACUCCACAAAAUAAGUGUCAAAAUAUGUAUAAAAAAUGGACAGCGUGAAUGGCUUGGAAAUUGGAAUAGGUUUGAAAAUUGUGCUUUUUGUAGCAAAUUUUAGCAAAGUUUGCUUGGACUUUCACAACCGUAUAAAUUAAAGGGAAACUUGAUAUAACUCCAAUUUUUUGAGCCAAUAGUAGGAAUAGUCCAGUUUAUUAAAAUAAGUUCAAUUCUUUAAAUUUAAUUAUUUAGUUAUCAAUAAUUAUCUCUUAAAAGAAAAAACUUAUUGUAAAAAUCAAAUUUCUUCCUAAUUAUCUCUUUGAUUAUUUCUUUUUAUUUAUUUAUUUGUUAUUUCUUGUUCUUCCUCCUGCUUUAACCCAUUUAUAGAUUUUUUUUUUAAUUUUAUAAUCAACCUAUGUCACAGGUUAAUUGUAUUUAUCUACCUAUAUGACAUAUUCUUUUUCAUAGUCAACAUUUCACAGAUUAAUGUGUCUUGCUUGUAGAUAUAUUAUGUUUUUUUCUACCUUUUAGUUAGGUUUCAUAUCUCACUUAUAGGUAUAAUAUACAUUCAUAUAUUUGCUACUUGAGUUAGGGUAGAAUGUUUUGCAGAUAGAUUUAUGUUAGUAUAUUAAUUUUUUUUUGUUUAUAAGAUAUUAAUUAGAUAUUUUGGAGUUGAAAAAUGCAUAAUAUUAAAAGCUUUUAAUUGAUUUUUAAUAUUUUUAGAAAAUAUAAAAGGAGUAUAAAAGAAAUCAAAACAUAUAAUUAGAUAACGGGAGUCACUCCUAAAAACACUCUAUGUUUUUUGACCUGGAUCUUAAAGCCCCUAAAUUAAACUGUUCGCUUUGUUGGGAAAAAGAAGUGGCCCUAGUUUCCCUUUGAUUUUUCAAGCACGGUGGGAGACUGGUCAUAGUUUCUAGAUUGAUGCUCUAAUUCUAAUGUUAUACAACGCGUACGCUAUAAUAUUUUUAUCAAAAUAUUAGUUUUAGUGUUAUCAAAACAAUAUGUUAUUCUUACCAUGUUUUUGUAUCACAAUUAUAUACCACCUUAGAUGGUAUCUGAUGUGGACAGCCACAUCAUUUAAAUUAAUAAGCAUUUAAUUUCAAAAUGUUAAUCAAUAAUUAAUAAAAAGAUUGUUAAUUAAAUGAUGAUUGUGGUAUACAAGGAGUCUCCUUCUUCCUUCCUCUUUCCAUUCUGCUUUUUCUUCUUACCUCUUUUUUUUUUUUAAUGCCAGUUUUGUAUUGAUUUCUGUUGAUUUCCAUGAUUAUGGUCAAUCUUUAUAGAAUUUACUAGUAUGCCACAAUCACCAUUGAUUUCUAUCUCCAGACUCAUGCCCCGUAGCCCUAAUCCUCAUUCCCCUUCAAGUAUUUCUGUCUCCAAUCUUCUUUGGUACUCCAUGAUUGUUCAUCUCGUGAUAUUUUUUUUUUUGAUUAUUUCAUUAAGUAACGCUUAUUAGCUUUCAUGCGAAUUAGGAGUCAAAAUCAAAUUUGUCUAUCGGAUUAGGGUUCAUACCCAAUUAAGUUACUAACGCCAGAGGGAUUUUGAAGUAUGCAAUUUUCCUUAUUUAAGUGUUUUAAUUAAUAAGAAAAUUGAAAUUAAACAAUUUAGCUUGUCCAACUCAUCUGCCACCUAAGAUGGUAAAUAAAUGUGGUAUAAAAUUGUGGUAAGAAUAUCAUUACUCUUAUCGAAAUUACAAAAAAAAAAAAAAAAGCUGAUUCAAUAUUUAGUUAUUAAAAAAAAAAUGAUCAAGUAACUAUCCAAUACCCAUGUAUUGGGUGCUUUGUUUGAAAAUUUUCAAAAUGAUAUUGGGCUCGUUUGGAUAUGUUUUUAAAAUGACUGAAAGCAUUUUUAGAGAAAAUAUUUUUUUGAUUCCAAAAGCACUUAAAGUGCUUUCUGCAAGAAGCACCCGUUAUGUGCUUCUUCCUGGAAGCACUUUAAGUGUUUUUCCAGCAUUUACUUGCUUUUUUACUAAGGACUGGUUCCAAAAACAUUUUCACAAAAAGUGUUUUCAGUCAUUUUAAAAGCACAUUCAAACGAGCUCAUUGUUUUUCCUAUUUUAAUCGAGUGCGUCGUCCUCUGUUGAGAAUGAAUCUCAUAUUAUGGGAGGAGGGAUCUUGCAUGAAUGGGAGGAGGGACCUUGCAUGAGCUUAUAAGUAAGUUGGGUUACUCUCCAUAUUGCCAAAAGAAAUUUUAUUUGGACCCAGUUUUCCUCUCUCUAAACCCAACUUUAAUAUUUUGUUACCUAUAAACUCUCUAGUUUACCCUCAUAAAUUAUAAACAUAAAUAAACUAGAAAAAGAAAAACUCAUCAAACCCAUUUCCCAACUGUUCUGGCGUCUCUUCCCUGUAUUUGUUGGGUCUGUCUCCCUCCCGACUGUUUUUUUUUUUCUGAUAUCUCUGUGUGUUCCCCCACCUCUCCCACACCCACCAAUUCUUUGUGGUGGCUAUUCCACCAAACGUCCAGUGAAUCUUUCCAUUUUUCUUCUAUUGCGCGUGAUAGGGCCUUGCUAUUAAUAGGCAAAACUAAGCGGCAUCGUCGACUCCGUAAGCGACUUGUUGCAUAAGUCCAAAAUGGAGUCAAAUGGAUUUUGUAUUGGGUCGGGUUGUUGAAGGCGAUGGCUGAUUUAGCAAUCCCGCCUAACUAUUUCUAUAUGUAGGAGAAGGAAGAGGGAGGGAGGUCUGAAGUGGUGGUUGAGUGGUGGCGAUGUAUGUGGGUUCUCUCUCGGUUGAAUGGGUGUAGAAAGAUAUUUAAUUUUCAAUAUCUUAUUUUAUUUUGUAUAAGGGAUAAUAUAGGAAUUACAUAAAAAGUUUUUUUUAUAGCUAGGUGUAGAAAUAGUAUUGUUGGGUCUAAAUAAAAUUACCCUAUUGCCAAUUAGUUUUAUGGUGAAAUCUUAACUUUGUUCAUGCUUUCAUAGUAGGUUGUUCCACGUGUGAAGUCAAACAUCCACACGCGCUGCACGUCACCCCGUUGUGUUGUUCACGUGUUAAGCUUGAAAAUUCAUCACACAUGAGGGAGCGUGUUGAGAAUAAAUUCCACAGUUUAUAAGUAAGUUGUACUACUCCGUAUAUUACCAAUUAAUUUUGUGGAAUUCCGUCAAAGCUGAAUUUGACGGAAAAAAAUAACUUCAUGUUUGUUCUUAACUAUAAAGUCAGUGAUACACUAAUUCUGGUUUGUUUGUUUUUUCCUUCCUUCUUAAGGAAAUUCCCAAUCCAACCAAAAAAAUGAAAUUCCCAAGAGAAUAGUAGCACGAACAAUCGUAGCUUUCUUCUUCGAUAAGCCUUGGGGAAACAGAAAAGGGAAAACCGGACUUUAACCCUAAUUUCUCCCAAUGCCGCAGCACUCUCUAUUUUCUCUCUCGCUCUAUAUCGCGGUCCCUCUCUCUCGCCGUCCUCUAUUGCUCAAACUCAAUGUCUCCAACUUCCUCUGUAUGGUUCCCGAGGAAGAUGGUAAAACAGUAAGGGCAAGAAAUUGUGACAAGGUUAGAUUUGGGUAUUAAUCUGGUGGGGCUACAAUUCUCCAAUCCACACCCCUUUCAUCUGUGCUAGUGUUUGAACCCAAUAUUAGAUAACCGGUCCAUGCAAUCGAUGCCGUUGAAUGAGAAAAAUUCUAGGCCGUGGGAUCAAAUAUAAUGAUGUGGAUUAAAUAAGGAAAAUUUAAAGAGUAAUGAUAUUCAUACCAUGUUUUUGUACCACAUUUUCAUACCACCUUAGGUGGCAUUUGAUGUGGAUAGCCACAUCAUUUGAAUUAAUCAGAUUUUAAAAUUUAGUUGAUUAUUUAAUAAACUAAUAAUUAAGAAAAACUAAUUAAUUAAAUGAUGAUUGUGAUAUACGAGGAGUCUUUCUCGUUCAUUUCUUUGGGUUUUGCAAAUUUUUCAAAUGAUGUGGCUGUCUACAUCGGAUGCCACCUAAGGUGGUAUAGAAAUAUGGUAUAAAAAUAUGGUAUGAAUAUCAUUACUCAAAUUUAAAUGUUUAUCUUGGUUAAAUUACCAUGAUAAUAUUGUGGAAUUAUCUUUUGCAUAACGGAAGAGCGAGAAAAGUCCAAGGGUGUAGGGAAGUUGUGUGGUUGACUACCGCUAUUUUGAUGGUAUAAUCUGUAGAGUAAUAUUACAUUUAACAUCUAUUUGUAUCAUAUUUCUAAUAAAGAUAAGGACCAUCAAUGCAUAAAUAAUUAAACAAAUAUAUAAUAAGAGUAUCAUUUUUGUAACUAGAAUAGGAGAAGAAAGACUUCAAGAUGGGAUCAGCCAAAUAAUUAGCGUUAAGAUAAAAAUAUUGAAAGGAAAACUAAUGAAAAUGGCUUGAAAACUUUGAGUUUUAACGAUAAGGACAAGAUAAAGGGUAAAGUGAAUAGUACCAGGAUUGACUUUUUAAUGUAAAAAUAUAGUUUUUCGUUAAAGUGAACAUUACCGGGAACUUUUCGUUAAAGUUUCCAAUGAGAUAAUAUUGCAACAGCUGGCAUGAGACAAUGAUGGUAUAAAGAUGGCUACUACGGCCAAACUACUACAUAGGAUUCCAUACAUGCGGUCAUUAUUUCGACAAAUCAAUGGCUGCCGCAAUCAUGUGCUCAUUAUUCCGACAAAUCAGUAGCUACUUGCAUUGGAUUAGGAUUGCAUGCGUGUGGUCAUUGAAUGAGGAUUGCGUGCACGUGAUCUUUAUUCAAACAAAUCACUAUUGACCAUAUAUUGCAAUUGGUUAAUGGUAGGCAAAUUGAAUUUUUACAUCAAAUAAUGUGAUUGCUGAUAAUUGAAUUAUUAUUUAAAUGUUGAUUAAUAUGCUUAUUUUUUAUUUGUGAUAUAUCAUUUAAUUUGUACAUUUAGUUUACCUAACAUUACCAACUGUAAUUUGUAUAAAUGGACUGGUACCUAACAUAACCAGUUGUAAUUUGUAUAAAUGGGACUGUAAUUUGUAUAAAUGGACUGGUGCCUAACAUUACCAGUUGUAAUUUGUAUAAAUUUACUGGUCCCAAGAGCACAUGCUACUGCUCAAGAAGCAAAGUUCUUAUUUGCCCAAAAAAAAUCAUGGUUUUUUAAUUGAUGCUCUCAUUUUAAUUUACUAGCCCCUUACUUGGCCUUUUUUAUUUAUCAUUUUAUACAUAUUAAUAUUUUUUUGUAAAAUAUAUUAGUUUGAGUUUUAUUAAAAUUAAAAAUAAAUAAAAAAACUUAGUUUUAGUUUUAUCAAAUUAAAAAAAAAUGACUUAAUAUUUAGUUAUUGAAAUUGUAAAAAAGUGAUCAAGUAUUGGGUGCUUUGUUUGAAAUUUUUCAAAAUGAUAUUGUUUUUACCAUUGAAACCCUGUUAUAUACAGUGAUGGCUAAUUUGUCAAGUUCUACGAAGUUGGGAUACCCAGCGUUUUAGCAUAUAACAUAGCUUAGUAUUACAAGCAUAAUUAAUUAAAAUAAAGGCAAAAUAAGAGGAUAGCUUAGUAUUACAAGCAUAAUUAAUUAAAAUAAAGGCAAAUUGUAACAGCCCGUCCCUAAAAAUGACGAUUUUAUAAUCUUAACACGUGAGUUUAUGAAGAUGCCCUUCGAGGCAAAGUGUUGACUACCGCGUCGUGUCAUGUGAGACUCAUCUUCUUGGCGUAUUCUCGUUUUACUCGUCGCUACGGAUGCGUGGGCGCAAACGACACGUGAUUUGGAGCUAUAACAAAAGAGUUAUUAACAUUUAAAGUUAAGGACAUUUUAGUAAAUUAAUUAAUUUCAGAUUUUGUUGAGGGGAAAAUCUGGAGUGCCAUGUGGGUGGCCCAGAUUAAAGGAAAUGAGGAAUGGAUGGUGGAGGUGUAAAGGAAAGAAGAUAAAAGAAAAAUGAGAGGAAAUGUGUGACUAAUAGGGAGAUGAGAGAGUUAGGAUGGCCCAAUUAGAAACAAACGAAAGGAGGAAAAAGGAGAGAAGAGGGGAGCAGGGGAUCCCUUCAACCCGGUUCCACUUUCCGACCCGACCCGAUCCUUUUCAUCUUUUCCGGUGGUUUUUCGUCAGUUUUUCCGGCGAACCACGUUAUCUAACCCCGUUGAAAAUGUUCCACGACCUUCCCUCUACCAUUACAACCCAAAAUUGUAGAAAUUUAGCCAUGAAAGUAUGAAAACCGCACCGGUGGGUGCGGGAAACCUUUGUCGUCGAUUCUCCCAUUAUUGAAACGAUUUUCACCAAUUAUCACCACCUACAGCAUCCUCUUGAGGUCUGGAAUAAAGCCCAAACAAGUUUUGGGGCGUUGGAGUUCGUUUAAGGUCGAAUUGAGCACACCCAAAUUCAAGGGUUCCGUACCGUUCAUGGUGAUUUGAGGUGUUUCUCGGCCAAAUUGGCCUUAGUCACAAGUAUGAAAGUUGCUCCACUCGUUGAGAUCUUCAUUUAUGUGAAAUUUGAGAAUUUUUUGAAAUAUUUGGAUUUUCCAGCGAGUCGGGGUGGCGGACCGCCACCGGCAGCAGCGCAUGGCCAGUGGUCCACCAAUGUCAUUUUACGUUAAAUUGAUAUCUUGAUUUUAGAUUUGAUGUCUAUAUGUUAUGACUUGAUUAUGUGAACCUAGUUUGAUUAAGGUGCGUUAAUUGGUAAAAAUAUGAAACGACGAUCCGACCGUGGGAUCGUCACCAAACUUUAAUAUGUUAUAGUACAUAAUAUUUGAGAAUCAUAGGGACUGACAGAUAGGAAAUCCGAGAUACAGAUCUUCCCGAAAUGGAAUUGUAAGUUUGAAGAAUAAACGUUAACCGCCACUUUGUUUUGACUAUUGGUGGAGAUCCAACCGUUGGAUCAUAAUGAAAUUUUAGGAUGAUGUUUUAGAAGCAUAAUGUGGAUCUUUGGAAGUUACUGAUCGGAAAUCCGAGGAGUGAAUCUUCCGAAUUGAAUUACGUAGGGUUGUGGACCUUACCGUCGAUCGUUGACCGAUGAUCGACUUUUGGUCAAUGGGGCUUAAAUCAAUCUAAAACGUUUUUAGGGAUGUGUUUUACGUAAAUUACAUGAUCUAUUGAUAAGAAUUAUGAGAUGUGGUUUGAUAAUUGUCCUAGGUGCCGAUCGUUAGGAACGCUUCGAUGGUUAUGCUAGGAAAUUGUAGCACAGACUCCUUGUGAGUGAAUCUUUUCCUUCUUAUCAUAUAUAUAUAUAUAUAUAUAUAUAUAUAUAUAUGAUUGACAAUUCCACAAACGUUUAUAAAUUGAUUAUUGCAUAUAACUACUGUGAAUACUUUGAAGUACUUAUGCGAACUACGAAUGGCUUGAUCCGUGUUUAGGGUACGUAGGCAGUCUAACAAGACGUUAGAUGUAGUCAUACAAUAAUUGAGAUUAAACAAUUGAGAUAAAGCCUUGUUUGGGGAACUGGGCAAGGUGAAGGAAUUUGGUAAAAAGGUGAGAUUUAACCUUAUGAAUUGGUGAUUAAAUGUUGGUCAUAAAUCAAUGUGUAAAGAAUCAAGAAUUUGAAGUAAGGAAACGUAAGUAAUGAUAAUUAAUUAAACUAGUGUCUAGUUGGGCUUGUCACCUAUAAUUAUCCCCGAAAAUGAAUAAUUCGGGAGUAGGGCGUUACAGCUUCUGCAUUUUUAUGCCACAUUAUAUAUAUAUAUAUAAUUGGAAAUGCUAUAACAUGGUUGAGUAUCAGAUUUCAUCAUGGUUUAUCUAUAUGUAUAUUACCUGCACACAAUUAUUAUGAACGCGUUGAAGUGCAAAGGUGAAUGCACGACACCCAGGUAAGUUCAGGUGAGUUUAUGGUAUUAGUUGAAAUGAUGGGGUUAUGGUAUGACUACAUGUAUGUUUAGGUUGCAAUGAUAGGCAACUCCAACACUGUCGUACAGGUUGCCCAUGAAUUGUACAUGUUACAAUAGAUACAGUUAGAGCUCAUAAACCUACACCCCGGUGUUAGUACUCCCGCUCGUGGCCAGGGCACAGUCCUUCACGUGAUGUUCACCUCCCGCACCUUACGCUCACCUUGGAUCCAAGGUAGGUGCACAAUCAUGUCGUACCACUAUAGGUGGUUCCGACUCGUAGAUGACCCGCGAUUAUUUGCACAGUCUUCACGUGAUUGUAGCACUUGAGCGUAUUUAUUUACACCCAGUUCUAUUGUACAGACCACUUUAGGUGGUUCCGACUCGUAUGCAGGUAUACUUAUUAAGCUAUGGAUAAGUCGUACAGGUCACUAGAAGUGACUCCGACUUAUGAGCUAGCAUAUGUGAUGAGCUAGCAUAUGUGAUGAGAUAAGUGAUGAGUUAGUAUAUGUAAUGAGAUAUGUGAUGAGCUAGCAUAUGUGAUGAGAUAUGUGAUGAGCUAGCAUAUGUGAUGAGAUAUGUGAUGAGCUAGCAUAUGUGAUGAGUUAGCAUAUGUGAUGAGCUAGCAUAUGUGAUGAGAUAUGGGUAAGUCGUACAUGUCACUAUAGGUGACUUCGACUUGCGUGCUAGUAUGGGUUAUUAAUCACAUGAUUAUUGAUAUUACUGAUGAGAUGCUGUGUUGUGGUAUAUUUAUGAUCUUUCUGGAAACUAUGCAAGUGUUGUAACGAGGGGUUAUAAUGAGGUGUUGUAACGAGGGGUUAUAAUGUUUUAUAUGGUUUCUGUUAAAAUUUUAUUUCUAGGGUCACUCACCCUUAUUUUGUUUUCACCCUCUAGGUUUUAUUAGCUGAGCUUUCUUAUCGUCGAAGAUUCGUGGCGAUUCUUAGUAUUGGAGAUUAUUUCGAGAGUACGAUUCUUAAUUCACUUUACUGUACUUGCUUAAGCUGUAACGUCACGUGUGAAGUGGGUUCAUUUCCGCUUACCAGCGCAUUCUGGUAUUUAGGCACUCUUAGGUUUAAAUUUAUUCACAUUUUUCCACAUCAUCAAACUUUAUGGCUUUGUCACUCUUUAGGUGUCGGCCAGCACAGCUCGAUUUGGAGUCCUAGUGGACAUUCCGGGUCGGGGUGUGUCACAAAUGAAGAGGAUGGUUGAACUUGUUAAGUUUCUUAAGUGUGUCUACUUGAAGUGUGUUGCUAAUAAAUAUUUUGUUGUAGGCAUAAUUUACUGAACAAUUAUGGAGGCAGAGAGAGAGAGAGGGAAUAUGCGGCAUAGAGAGAGAAGAGAGAGAUGUGUAAUUGUGAGGUGUGUUCUAUUCCACCCCAUUGUACCUUUAUUAUAUUAGUAGGGAAAGUUAAUUCCUUACCCUUUUAGGAUUACAACUCUAAUAGGAAAAUAUCUAGUCUAAGAGAUAUGAUAGAAUCUCAUAAGGAUAUCCUAGAUAUGUUAGGAUUUACACAAUCAUAUUCCUAUUCCAAUAAGACUGCAACACAUUUGUAUUUUUUUAGAAUUUUUUUGAUAAUUUGUUGGUAUUCUCAAUUUUUGUUAACAUUGAAAAUAUAACGGUUCAGAUGAAAAACCUUUGGAAAUCCAACAGCUUGCAAGACGUUGGGCUGUGCUGAAGGAAGCUGGGCUGUCACGUGGAUGGGGCCCUCCCUCUCCCUCUUGUUGAUUCAAAGGGCGCAGGCCCGUGCAACAAUUGGCGAGGCAGCCCAUAGAGAUCCUGCGAUUCACCCAUUCGCCAUUUUUUCCACCGCUGGAGCACCAAAAUUCGGUCAAAAGGCAGGGGUAUCAAUGGCAAGGGCAAUUUGGCUUCCGCUGGAGGUGCUCUUUGUCGACUUUGUUUUUUCUCUCAUUUUAGCUUUUGCAGUAAUAUUGAAGUAAUCACUCCAAUUUUAUCCAAACUUUUGUUGUCCGUCAAUUUUUAUCAAAACUAUUGGUUAAUUUACAUAUUCAGACUAACCUUCUCAUUAUUUUUAGUAUUUUUAUCAUAAAUAAUAUCUGAAAUAGUCACAUUUUAUUCAACAACCACUCAAUUAAAAAUUAAUUAGUGUUGUUUCUAAACCAUUACAUCAAGCUUUUGUAGAUACACAUCAAUAUUGCAGCGAUCCGAGGCAUUGUUUUAGUGACGGUAGUACUUUCUACUCCUUGGAUUUGGUGAAUCGGAAAAGAGAAGAGUUACGAGUAAAAGUCCCUCGCAUUGUUUUGGGGAGAUGAAGAUGAUGAUCUUUUGUUUUUGUUUUUUAAUGAUUAAUCCACGCAGCAACAUAUAAUUAAAUUGUUGGGAUCUACUCAAGUUCCAUAUCACACACUAACAUAAAAUUUGACAAACGAAACGAAAUAUGUGUGUAGACAUCGAAAUUUCGUAAAUAAAUGUUGACCGAUAAAUCAAAGUGUCAACGCUCAUGUAUUACAUAAAUUUUACACGUAGCGUGUGACUCAACGAAAAUUGAAAUGAGUUGGAAAAGUCAUCAAAUAGGACACGUGUCAACACCUGGCAGAAACGACUUAUUUCAUCUGGGAUAUUAUAUUCAAAAUUAGCCAUUGGAAAAUUCUAUAAAUACAAGCCCAUUUCAUUCAUUUAAGGAGAGGAAUUCAUAUUACACCUUGAAGCUCUGAAGCUCUGAAACUCCGAAGCUCUCAAGCAUCCAGGUUCCCGAAGAAUCAAGAAAGUGUUCUUCGUUCUUCGUUCAUCGUUCUUCCAAGAUCAAGCCUCGACGGCCCUUGGAUCAACAAUCAUCCACCUUCAAGAUCAAGCCCCGACGGCCCUUGAAGAAAGCGUUCUUCGUUCUUCGUUCAUCGUUCUUCCAAGAUCAAGCCCCGACGGCCCUCGGAUCAACAAUCAUCCACCUUCAAGAUCAAGCCCCAAAGGCCCUUGAAGAACUUCCACCAAUUCAAGAUCAAGCCCCGACGGCCCUUGAAGAAAGCACCAUCGUUCAUCAUCCGUUCAUCCAAGAUCAAGCCCCAACGGCCCUUUAGAUCAACAACGUCGACAAAUCCACACAUCCAACCGUUCUUCAAGAUCAAGCCCAAAAGCCCUUGAAGAUCCGUUCAUCACUGUUCUUCAAGAUCAAGCCCAAAAGCCCUUGGAGAUCCGUUCAUCACUAUUCUUCAAAGAUCAAGCCCAAAAGCCCCUUUGAAGAUCCGCUCAAAUCCACCUUCAAGAUCAAGUCCACGGCCCUUGAAGAACGUUCAUCCUUAGAUCAAGCCCAACGCCCCUUUGGAUCAAUCGCACAUCCACAAAUCAACACCUUACGGAGAUCGAAUCAGAGGAUCAAAAUAGAGAGAGAUUGUAACCCAAAAUCAUCAAAUACAAAUAUUUGUUUGUGCGCGUUGUUCUUGUCUCUUUCGUUUCAGGAAUUUUCCGUGUUCACAAUGUGCUCUUGAAAUCAAAAUGAGGGCACUGCUCCAAGAACAAGAAGGGCACCUUGUCGAGGUCGCCAUCCGCCGUGAGGGAAAACCGGAAGAAGUUGGACAACAAUGAUAACAUCAAUUUGCGGCACCCAUAUCGGGACAUCACACUGUGAAAUAAAUAUUGAAAUAAAUACUCAAAACUCCUGGAAAGUCCUCGAGACAACAAACUUUCAUCUCCUUCAAACAUUUCAUUUUACUAAGUUUUAUCUUUGAAGGGAGGGAAAAAAAGAGAAGAGAGAAUCCUACUCCUUAUUCCUGAAUAUAUUCAAGAAUAGCUAUUGAAUAAAGAGAGAAUGGAGGGUGAUCGAAAGAGGAGGGAAGAGAAUUCUAGUUCCAAACAUAAAAAGGACCACAACUUUUAAAUUAUCAGCACAAUCAUCACCUAAUUGAAGAGACCAUUCACUGUGAAACAUAUUGUCAAUCAGUCUAUCUAUAUCUAUUUAUAUACCAUAUUUUUAGAGUAAGAUUCUCUCACCUCCUAUUACCAUCCCCUUCCAUCCUUUCAUCUCAUACUCUUUUUUUGUUGUCUUAUUCUCUAUAUAAAAAAAUUCAAAACAAGAUGUAUACGUGACGUAAUCGUAACCGUUUAAAUAAGAGGGGAUAGAAGAGAAGAGAGAUUAGGAGAAGGGAGAAUCCUACUCCCACAUUUUUCUUCUUCAUAAACAAAAGAGAGGUUCUAGAUUACUUGACUCUAUGCCUCAUUUUUUUCAUCAAGUAUUUGUGAUAAGUGGGUUCAUUUUCAAGUAUUUUAGUUUUUUUGUCAAAAUUGAGAAAACUGAAAAUCAAACAUUAAUAUGAAAAAUUAAAAAAUCAACAUAUAAUUAUUUAGAAAUCGCAAUAGAAAAGAAAAAAAAUGGAGGUUUGUGAUGAAAAAUCUUUUAUACUAAGUAAUUUAGUAUCCUUAUGCAUGAAGAUAAAUCAAUUUGUUCGUUACGGUCAUACUCUUUUUUGAAUUUUUGAACACAUUCUCCAUAGGGCCUUCUUAUAUGUUCCUUCUCCAAGCUCGGGUUAUGGAAGAAGUAAAAGAAGGAAUCGAAAAGAAAGUAUUGGUAACAACCGAUUUCAUUACGAGACAACUCUUGAUAUUCAUAUCAAUCUAUUAUGUACCUUUGCAUCUAGCAUUAGACAAUAAUUGUCAUAGCUUUACCAUAUUUUUUUGUUUCAUUUCUUCUGAAACAAUCUCACACACUUUUUUAUUAUGUGUCUACUACUAGGAAUUCAAUACGUAAUCUUAGCAUUCAAUAGUUAUUCCUAAAUAAUUUCAAUUUUCAAAUGAUCAACCAUUUCAUUUUACCAAGUUCAAUCAAUGUUAGUCAGAUUAGUCAACAUUUAUAUAUUUUGAUGCAACAACAAGAUGUUAUUUGUAACAAGUGAUUUUGUUAGUUGGUUAAUUGGUCACAAGUUAAUGUUCGGUUCAGUUUAGUUUUUCUCUCGAUUUUUUGUGAUUCGGUUUUUUCAAUUCUCUUUAGGGUCGGUUCGGUUUUGUUUUUUUAUUUAUACUUGAAUUUUAUUUUAAUUUAUUUUAAUUUAUUUUAUUUUAAAUCUGGAAACACCAAGAACAACACAAGCACAUAGUCAAUCAAACAACUAUCCUUCUCCACAAAUCAUAGUAAUAAUUACAUUCAUUGAGCUGAAAUGCAAAUAACUAACAAACUCACAAAAAUCAAAUAAAAACUACAAAUUGCUUACUCUUUUUCUUUGGGUUUCACUCGAAAAGUGUCGGUAAAAUUUAGGGUUUGCAAGAACGCAACUGAAAUCUAAAACGGAGGCCUUGUGGCCUAUGGGUUGCUAUUGAGUUCCAGUACAGAGAACCUUGCUUAAUCUCGAUCACGGUACAAAGUAUCGAGUACCUUUAGCACUGUAUUUUGGUAUGAUUGGUAGAACCAAAUUAAAAGCUAACAUCAACAACAACUACCAGAGACAAAAGCUCUUAUCAAUGCUUUGGAAACAUUUAUGUAUCUCCAAGUGUAAUGAUAUAAUUGGUUGGAAACUUGUGAUUUCGUAUCAAAUCAAUAAAAAGUUACAAUAUUGACAAUAUAUUAGCAAUUUUUAUGUUAAUUAUGAACAAGUCAAUCAUGUAGAACCAAAUUAAAAGCUAACAUCAACAACAACUACCAUAGACAAAAGCUCUAAUCAAUGCUUAGGAAACACAGUCCUGUAUCUCUAGGUGUAUUGAUAUAAUUGGUUGGAAAUUUAAAAGAAAAAUGGUGAUUUUGUAUAAAAUUGAUAAAAAGUUACAAUAUUGACAAUAUAUUUGACACACCCCGACCAAGAUCAAGGCAUGCUGGCCGUCACAUGAGAGUGACGUAACCAUGUGCACAGUGCGGAAGCAAUAAUGAUAAGAAAUAUAUGAAUAAUUAAAAACCGAAUCUACUAGAGUGCACUACUAAACAGGAAGUAUUAGGAGUAAGAUACAAAAGUAAAUACUCCUAAUCAGAGCAUAGAAAGUCUAGGUGCAAUCCAGUAGGACAAGUACUAAUUAUACAGUAUAAAAUGUCUUACAAUUAUUUAGAUAGGUCAGAACCGCCGAAGUCCUCACACCCAACAACUGCAAACUUACUUAAAACCUGAAGGGGCGCAAAAUAGAAAACGUGAGUGGGAAAAAACAAAUGUUUUACAAAACCAUUUCAUUUAUCAAUAUAUCUAACCCCUCGCUGUAAACAUGUAUAAUUUUUCCCAGAAUCAAGAUAUAAGCAUAUACAUAAAUAUAUAUAUAAAUAUAUCAAUUCAAAUCAUGCUUCACAUAAUCAUAUUCAUAUGUAUGUCAUGCCAAGAUAUAACAGAGUAAGCAACUCAGGUAAGAGUAAUUUCAUAGAAAUAUAACAUGUUAGCCGGAACCCCUGUAGUAGUCUGUACGGCUGAAUUCAUAGCUCAAAAGUCAAUCUAGCCGAAGUCACUACAAUGACCUAUACGGCAAUAUACUGCACAAGAGUCGGAACCAAAUGAAAAGAUCUGUACGACAAUAAUGGGUGUUGUUGAUGCACAAAAUCAGUGAGGACUUUGGUACAACAGAAAGUGUUAAGUUUGUGACAUUCUCUAGAUUACUCCGAUCACUAGUGUGGAUAAGUAUGUAAAUGGAUAAAGACAGGGAAGCAAACACAAGAUGUACGUGGUUCACCCAGAUUGGCUACGUCCAUGGAGUAAAUGAGUUCUUAUUAAUUGUGAAGGGUUUACACAAGUAUAUAGGUUCAAGCUCUCCUUUAGUGAGUACUAGUGAAUGAUUUAGUACAAAUGACAUUAGGAAAUAUUGUGAGAGAAUGAUCUCUAUUUAUAGAAGAGAGUUUCUAGUUUCAUUCUGACAUUGACACGUGUCAUGUUGUGAUUGGCUUCUGAUGUUGACAUGUGUUGCACUAUGAUUGGCUUUAGAUGUCAACAUGUGUCGCGUUGUGAUUGGCCUCCUGGUUUGAGGGAAACUCUUCUGGCUCCUUGACGGUAUAACGUUGAUCGAUGCUCAGUAGUUUCGGGAUUGGUCAAGUAUGGUACAAACAGGUGUAAUAUAAUCAUACUCAAUACUACUCUCACAUAAUAGCUGGGUGAUAAAUCGCUAGUCACCUAUGAGUCAGAACGAUAAUAAAGGUCUGUACGAAGACUGUGCACCUAAAUUGGAUCCAAUAUGACCAUAUGGUGCGGGAUGUGACAUUAUAUACAGGCUUGUGCCAUCACUGGCGGAGCUACACCCACGGCUACAGUAGGCUGUAGCCUAGGGAGGAUUUUAACAAACUGCUGGUAUAAUAGUUUAUAUAUGAGUUUGUUGUUGCUUAUUGUAUGUAUAAUAGCCCACAUAAAUCCUGCCAAAAUUAUUAGUUAAUGUGUUUCUUAAUUUAUAAAUAAUACUUUUAUUACCUUUUAUUAUUUUAUUAUUUUUAGGCUAAAAGUAAAAAUGGUAAAUUAAUACAUAAUUAGGUUUCUCCUAUUCCCCAUGCUUUUUACCUAUUCGUUCAAAACAAAAAAAUUAAACCCUCUACCCUAAGAAAAGAAAAACUAUGAAUCACCAUCAAAUUAUUUUCUAAUGAAAUUCAACACUAGAUAUGCUCUUCAUGUCUUCAUUUAACCUAUUUCUUGAUUCAAUUGUUCAUUCCAUAUAUCUACAGCACGACUUGAAUUGGUAUCCCCUAACCUUUUUUCUUUUGGGUACUUGUUAUCAACAAAAGUGAUAAUAUUUGUUCUCUUUCUAUUGCUUUUUUGUAUGCAUGUUUUAUUUGUGUAAAAAUUAGUUGGAAAGUAAUUAAUAAACUUGUUUGGAUUAUUAGUACUUCAUGUUCCUACUUUUAUGUAGAUUACUAUAUAAUUUUAUGUAGGCAAAAAAAAAAUUCAUAAGAUUAUAUGCUAAUGAUUUUAGUUAGCCCACCCAAGAAAAAUUUUCUGGCUCCGCUAUUAUGUGCCAUAACUCUGGCAAAAUCACAAUCACCCUAAGUGCAGUUUUAUGAGUUCAACGUUAUUCUAUCACAUAUCACAUCAUCGAUAAUUCACAUAACCAAACAUAACUCACAUGAGCUUACCUGAGCGUCCACAGUACCAUAAUUAUAUAUAAUGCAUCAUAUACGAAAUAUAAAUUCAUAUGCAUGGCAUUUAAGGUAUACUUUCAUUUAAACACAUAUUUCUGGGAAAAUAUCAAGUAUAUAAAUAUAUACUGAAAACCAAAAGCCCACUCAUUGGUAUGUCGAAGGGUCGUAGCCCCCGAGUCGCCUUUGAAUACUCUCGUCCUCGUGAUAAGUCUCACCUAUAUGCGAAUUAACUAUAAAAACGUUAUUUUAGAGCACAUACAAAAAAUUAGCUAAUAACUCUCAUACAAUGCUCAAUUUUUGUAUUUGAAUAUAUCACAGUGACCUACACAACCUCAAGAUCAUCCCUAAAUUUUUACAAUAUUUUUCUGACCCCUCACGCGCUGCCACGCACCGGCAAGGGCAACGCCUUACUCGCCCCCACGCGCGGCCACGUGACAAGCAUACUGAUGGCGUCAAUCAACAUCAUCAGGAAUAUUCUAGGGAAUAUUCUGUUAAAACCCAAUGGUAACUGUUAAAGAUGACUGACGGCAUGAGCAUAUUCUGUCAACCUUGACGGAAUAUACUCCUUUCUUCUCCGAUGAGUCGUCGGUCGCCGGCGACUUCGCCGAUUUCUUGGUAAAACUUUAAAUCGCUUAUUCUUCUUCGUUUCUUCGCCAUUUUUCAUGAAAUUGGUACCAAAAUGAAGCUAAUAACAUGUAGAAUCACUUUGUAUAAGUUUCAAGGCUUAAAAUCUACUAGUUUUUCCCUGAGAAAGCUCGAUAGUUCGGCUUACCUAGAUAUGCGUCGAUCUCAGCCCUCCGACGUCCAAUUCCUUCCAACGAAGUACCCCAAGACUCGUGAGGACCUCCUUAAGCUUCCUAUAAGCUUCAAAUUCCCUGAAACACAAGAUUUUACGUAUGCAUGAACAAUGCACAAAGUCGGAGCUAGGGUUUCCACGUGAAAUCGAAGGUUUCCUUACCUGAAAAUGGUUCCUUUGAAUUCGUAUGGUUCUCACGAACACAAUGGUGAUCUUAAAACCUUCGAUCUACAAGGUUUAAGAGGGUUUCUGGGUUGGUCCGUACGAAGAAGGGAGAGAGAGAAUGAGAAUCUGCGAGAGAGAGGGCACGGGAAGGAAAGAGAAAUAAGAUAGGUGUGUGUAUGGUCCAAAAGCCACCAAUCAAAACUAAGAAAAGUCUUAGUUGUAAUUGGGUCACCAAUCUAAAACAAUUUAACCCAAUAAUAACUUACACACAUCAUUUAACAUCCGAGGGUAAUUCCGUCAUUCUACGUCAUCGAGAAUAAUCUUCCGGGACGGGCUGUGACAAUAUCAGCAAUAUUUAUGUUAAUUAUGAAUAGGUCAAUCAUGUAUUUAAUACUUAAAUGUAUUUAAAAUAAACACCUUAUCAAUGUUUUCUGAACUGUGCUCGAUUUUUCUCCUUCGCUUUGGUUCUGUCCCAUUGGAUUUUUCAAGCAAGAUUUUAUCAAGGCAACUAUCAUUAACUGUGAACAUAAUUUAUCAUUGAGACACGAACAUCCAAGGGGGAGUGUCGUGGAAAAAAAUGUAGAUAUCUUUAUACGUUGUAUGGUAGUAAACCAUCAUAAACACCAUAAAUAUGUAGAAACGCCCUUGCGGUACCUUUGAAUGAUAACUCAUGUAUUUGUUGCCCUAUGUAAAGAUGGCUAAUGAUAAUGGAAGACUAAUUUUCUCAUCCCAAUCUCUCCUGUCUCUCUUAUUCUCUUUUCUCUAUAUUUUAUUUCCAACAAGUUGUGUUUUUUUUUUAGUAUUGUUAAGCAACCCAAUAGAUUUUAAUCGUAGUCUUUGUUUUUUUUCUUUUAUAUUUUUAAUCAAUUUCAGUUGCUUAUCAGUUCUAGCUAAUUGAGCUCUUUUACAGCAAUUUUUUUCUUUAAAUAAAAUUAUUAUUAUUAAAAAGAGUGAGAAAAUUCGAAAUUGUUACAAUAAUUUAAAAAAAAUAGGAGUUUCAAAUCAUGAAGGUAGAGGGAGUUAACAACAUUUUAGGGGGGGGUGUAGUCAAACUAGGAUUUUGAAGGAUUUUAAAAGUGAUAGAUUUGAUAGGAUUUAAGAUGAUUAAAGACUCUUACAAAAUUCAUAUGGAUUUUAAAGAAUAUGAAUGGAUUGCGGUGGAUUGUGGGGGAAGGAUUUGAAAUCCUAGGGGGUGAGGUUUGAUUCUUUUUAGUUUUGGUUAUAUAUGGUAUGCUUUCAAAUCCCAGAAAAUCCACAACUUUUUAAAAUCCUUUAAAAUCUUAAUUUUUUUAAUACACUUAGAUUUGGAUGGAUUCUAAAAUCCUUUAAAAUCUUUUAAUUGACUACACCUAGAUUUGAAUGGAUUCUAAAAUCUUUUAAUUGACUACACCUAGAUUUUAAUGGAUUCUAAAAUCCUUUAAAAUCUUUUAAUUGACUACACUAUGAUUUUAAAGUCUUUAAAAUCCUCUCAAAUCCAAGUUUGACUACACCCCCUAAAGAUUUUAAGGAAAACUAAUGAAAAUGGCUUGAAAACUUUGAGUUUUAACUAGGGGUGGGCAAACGGGUACAGGAACCGCGGGUAGGGGUGGGUAAUUCAAGUUCGGGGCAGGUAUGGGACAUGUCCAAUAUUUCUAAACACAAAACGGGGCGAGGCUGUUCGGGUAUAUGAAAUUAUCGGGGCGGGGCGGGUCUUAAAAUAGAAGGGAACGGGCCCCCAGCCUGACCCGUUUCUUUUCCUCAUCCCUAGUCUUCUCUAUCUCUCUUCCCCGACACUUUUCAUUUCACUCAAACCCGGCCCAUUUCUUUUCCUCAUCAGUCAUCCCUAGUCUUUUCAAUCUCUCUUCCCUAACUCCUUUCAUUUCACUCGUACCUCGAGACCUCCUCUUAACUCGCUCCCAGCCUCCCACCGUCCUAGCUCCGUACCUCGCCAUCAUCAUCGUCAGACCUCCAUCUCUCCUGAUUUACUCAUGUCUUCCUCGCUGCGUCCGCCGCCAUGUCUCUCUUUCUGUGACGAACUUAAAGGGACGGACGAAGUUGAACAACUCGAAACGACGCCUCUUCUGUCUGAAUUAGACCCAUAUUUGCAGCGCACGACUCUGCUCAUAGUCCUCUUCGGUUUUAAGGUAUUACGUUUUAGAGAUUUAGGAUUGAAAAUUAAAUUAGGGUUUUCUAGAUUUAGGGAUUUUGUUGGGUUCUUGAACCUUGACCUCUGUUAUGUUCCAAUUUCAAAUAUAUAUUGAAUUGAAUUUGAAUCGACUGUGUUUGAAACUUCUGUUGAAUUAAAUUGAAUUUGAGCAGGAGAAGAGGCAGAUGUGGGUUGGGCAAUGUCGAAUCUCAUUGUGGGUGGUGAGGUGGGCAUGGCGGGCGACAAUAUUGACUGGCAAUGGUACGGGCGGUGCUAUUAAGUUGCAGAAGAAUACGAAGGAGGGGGUGUGGGCAUGGGUGGAUAUCGCAAGCUCAAUUGAAUUUUUUCUGGUUUUGUUUGUGAUUAAUUGCUUGUAUAUGAUAGUUAUUGAUGGAUCUUGACAUGCCCAUUUAAUUGUUAUUGGCAAUGCUAGUUUGAUUGUAACAAAUUCAAACCGAUUGAAUUGUAUCCCAGAAAAAAAAAUCAAUAAAGGAACUGAGGACCCGGCCCGAACCAGCCCAUUUCAACCGGGCCAGGUUAGGUUCGGUUCUUAUAUUAGAAAAUGUUGUUCCCGGCCCGUUUCUCUUAAGCCCGGAUCCAGUCCGAUCACUUCGAAAUUGGCCCCAACCCGGCCCGGGCCCACCUCUAGUUUUAACGAUAAGGACAAAAUAAAGGGUAAAGUGAAUAGUACCAAGUUUGACUUUUUAGUGUAAAAAUGUAAUUUUUCGUUAAAAUAAGAUUUUAAUGGAUUCUAAAAUCCUUAAUUAAGAAAUUAGGCUUCAACCCAACUCAUCUUUGCAACGCCGGUUCCACUUCACAUCAACAGGCAAUGUUUUCUCCUCAACAAAUAGUAUUCUUUUAUGAGACAAAGACUAAUGAGGGUGAUAUAUAUAAUUAAUAAUAAUACUUGUGUUCCCUUUGUGAGUGAAUGCACUUAUUUUACCAUUCUCUAAUAAUGUAUCUUUAUUAUAUAAAUUUAUAUCAUGUGGAUAUCUUCCUAUAAAAAAGUUAUUCAAAUUGGAAAUCCUUACGUCAUCAAAAUAUAUAAAAAAAUGGACGAUCUCAUCGUAAAUAUGUUAGUUACUCACACUAUAACUUUGUAUAUUCCCUCACGUAGGAAACGCAAUAAUUAUCCUCUAAUUAAUUCUUCUUGAGAGUAGAAUUUUUAUUGUUGGUUUUUCGCAACCUUCAGACCUAAAGCUGAUAUGGACCUCUCAUUGUUUUUUGGGUUGCCGUUCUUAUUUUGCUUGGUCCUUUUACCUUUUCUAUAGUUGUUUAUCUAGUUCUUUUGAGCCUCGUACUAAUUUUUAAUGUAAUGAAAAUUAUCUUCGUGAUAAAAAAAAAAAUCAUUAGUCCUCGUAUGAACAUGCGAUGUAACACACUUUCAUGGAACAACAGAUGAUAAAGACGAUAUCCAAAUUUUCUCUGUGUUAUGUGGACUUUCCCAACCAAAUAAAUAAUAACCAAUAAACAAAUAAAUAAGAGUUUAACUUCAAACAUUGAGAAGCGAAAUUCCAACACUACGAGCCUAACUUUUGUCUUCAUCAUCAUCAUAGACUAGUCUCCUAUCCAUCAACUCCUACAUCAAUUUUUUUUUUUACUAGAUUGUAGCUCACUUUCAAAAGAGUUACGUAAAGUAUUUAAGCACCAUAAAAGAAAAUUAAACGACAACGAUUGACAUAAUAUUAGUAGUAUCAUGGUCUAAAAUAUUCAUAAUAUCUUGAUAUUUUUAUUGAAAUUUUCGUGUUUUUAGACUACCUAUAUUUUCAAUAUCAUCGAUAUUUUAAACCUUGCUAAGUCACUCAUGUAUCUUACCAUGCAAUGUAUAAAGUGUAAAAUAUUGUACUAAUUCAUUAUAUAUAAAUGAUUAUAGUGUGUUUAAACUUCUUUCAUUAAUUACUACAUAUUUUCUACACUCACAAUGUUUGCCAGCUCGCUAUAUAAUCAACUUAAAUCAAUUAUAUCUAUCAUGUAAUGCAUUUCCUUCCAAUUUUUUGUGAUAAACUAAUAGAUAAUUGACUAAAUAAACAUCCUGCAAAGUUUCAAUAAAAAUUUCCAAGUUUUUCUUACAAUUUCCGUAGUUUUUAUUCAAUUUUUAUCGAUAUCGAUAAUAUCCCGAUAUUUCCAUCGAAAUUUCCGUAUUUUUAGACUACUGAUAUUUCCGAUAUCAUCGAUAUUUUAUACCUUGGUAGUUAUACAUUUUAUCGGCCUCAUUUUUAUGCAACUUAUACAUUAAAUUAUUGUCAAAAUGUACAUAUAAAGUAGCUGAUCAACGAUGAGAUUUUAGGCAACCAUUUUCUUCUACGACGUCAAAGGUUGUAGAGGUGGCCAUGUGCACUACAUGCGUAAAUCAACUAGGGACUUGGAUCCUCUCUUAAGCCCAAGGAGAGGAUCCUCCUAACCAAAUGACUUGGAUUGUUGGAUGAAAAUCUAACGAUUACAAACAGAUGAUCUCUUUAAAGUUAUAAUAUUUAUUACCGUUGAAUUUUCAUCAAACGGUCAAAUAUCAUUGGUCAAAAGGGUCCUCUCAUUGGGCUCAGAGAGGACCCAAGUGCAUCAACCAGAACUAUUGCUAUUAUAACAAUUCAUGAAAUCAAUUAAACAAUAAUUUUCCUUCUGGCAGGCAUGUUAGUUAUUUCUUAUUUGGCCAAUUGCCUAGUGGAUUUGGUAGAUUUAACCUCUCCACCACAAACACAUUUAAAAAUUUCCAGAAAUCCGUAACGUAAAAUUUAAAAAUAAAUAUUAAUAACAGCAAGUUCUUUUCACCGACCGUGACCGAGAUCUGUCACAUAUCCAAAAUGUCACCUCCUUAUCGCAAAAACCAAAUUUGACUUGGGAUAAAUACCGUGUACAAAUUAAACGCGUUUCUCUAGCUUUUGCGUAAAGAGGCAACCCAACACUAAACUAGGAAAACGUUGGGUUGACAAAGAUACCAUGAAGAAUAAAGGGGUUAUGCAAUCCACUUUGCAAGAUAAUCAAAGUUUCCCGUUGUAGACUUGUCUUAACCCAACACUAAACUAAGAAAACGUUGCUUUCCCGUUGUAACAUGAAACAACAUUAAACAACAUUAAACAAUAUUAAAUAACAUUAAAUAACAUAAAAAUUAUACAACAUAAAAAAAACCAUUUAACAACAUAAAACUUAAAAUGCGUACUUCUUGCUUCUUGUGGCCUAAAGAUGUGCAACAAGAUCUUGAUGUAGGUACUUGUUUGUGGCACGAAAACGUAUCAUCCUAGCCGUUGGAUUUGAAUUUUUUUUGUUUUCGGCCAAAAAAUUUUAAAUUUAAAAGUUGAAGAUGGUGAGAAAUAUGAUCCUACACUGUUCAUUAAAAUAUUAAUUUCUUGAAUGACCAAAAGGCUAAAACAAGCCAUCCUUCGGUUGGAGAUGCCUAAGGAGAGACUAGAGAUAGAGAGUUUCCUAUAUAUGAUUUUCAUUAACAAGAUUGAAAUGAUUUCAGAGAGAAGAUCAAGUAUGGUUAUUUUUAUUUUGUAGAGUGUAGACAUUAUAACUAUACAUUCAUAAUAACAUGAGUAAUGUUAUAUUUAUCACAUUUGUACUCUUUCUCUGAUAAAGGUAGGGUUCAUCAACACAUGUGGGUUCUAUUUGCCCAUCAACACAUGCGGAUCUCAUUUUUAUUAGAAAAAUAGUACAAAUAUGGUACGGAAAAUAUGAUAAGAUCGCAAUUUUGUAAUAACAUAUAUACUCAACUAUUUAUAUACCGACCCAUCUCCUUUUAGUGUAGAUAAUAUCGUUUGUUAAAAAAAAUGUUGAACUUGUCAUAAUCAUUGAAUCCAUUUACCAUGAACAAACGGCAGUUUACUAAACUUGCCCUCAGAGUAUAUAUAAAAGGUGAAUCACAAUCUAUUGCAUUAAUAUAAGGAAACAAUUUAUAGGGUUUGACGGGUGACUUAAUAUGCUAUAUGGCACAAUGAAAAUUAAGUUCACACUUUAUCCCAAAUAAGGUGUUGCACCUUUAAUUUAUGGAUGCUGGUUUGACGUGUGACCGAAAUAAUCAAAUUGUAGCCAUUAAUCAUUUUACAAGUAAUAAUAUGUAGUUUUUACUGUUUACGAUUCACACAACAAUCUGCUAGGAAGUAGAAAAUGCAGUACUUGUCCCUCUCACAGAAGUCAUGAAUAAUUAUCAAAUUCAAAGAUAAAGAAAAACCACACAAUUUACAAGAGGAAAGAAAAUGAAGGGAUAAAGAAAGUAAGAAAGGAAUACCUCUAUGGGAGGACUCUUAUUUGCUUCAGAUGCCUACAAUAUUCAUCAUAUAAACACUGAUUAAGUAGUCAUCGAAAACCAAAACAAAUGUCGAACAUAGGGUGAAAAACAGAAAGAAUAACCGCAGCUCAUCAUACCAAUAGAGAUAGAACUGCCCGAUGCCCAAGUAUGACUGAAAAAUGGCAAUCCAAACAUGGCGCCUUCUAGCUCAUCAAACUGUCAAAACCUAGGUUCCACCAAAAAGAUACAAGUCACCUAGUUACUUGUAAAAUAAAAAUCUGUUUCAAAAUAGUGGAAAAUAUUAUUAACAUUGUUCAAAGUCCACAUUGUUGUACCUACCAAGAAACAAGAAGGAUUGUAUCUUAUCAUGAAAAAGAACAUAGGUACCUUUUCAAUUGUAAUUGUACAAAAAUGAGAGACCACUUCCGAACUUCUCUUGGAACUUCAAUCAAUUUCUGCCCACUUUUAAAUGCCUUGACAUACUUAAGCCUAUUUCUUUGAGCUUCAGUUUUGGCUUCUGAUGCCUUUAAAUUUCUUAAAGAUUCUUACCAAGUUUUACAAACUCACUUCUAUACAACCAUUUGUCAGUAUACAUACCAUUUUCUUUGAGCUUCAGUCUUUGCAACACCAAAACCCCCCAAAUAGACCCGGAAUUUUGCAAUGUGCAGGGAAUAUACAAAAAAAACCCUCCUAUCCAUCUAAAACGAAAUCAGAACCCAAACCACAAUCAAAAUCCGUAAAAUUAAUUUAGCCAACCCUAAAUCUAAUAAUUCUAACAAAUAUUAUAGUAUCAAUUGAGAGAGAAUUUGAGAAGAUACCUAGAGAUGAAAGGAAGAGCGUUUCCUCUGAUAGGGGUUCCGUGAAAGCAUCUGUUGACCAGAAAAGAAAAGGCAAAAAACCCCAAAUUACAUAUCAAGCAAUUAUAGAUAGAUCGAACCUUGAAAAUUGAAAUUUCAAACAAGAGAAAGGUUAUAAACUUACAACGAUCUGGGUGUUGGUUACUGGGUUUGGAUUUGGGUUUCUGAUAAGAGAGAGAAUCGUAUGAGGAACCGAUAGAGGAACUGCACCGGCAACAGAGAGCAACUGAUAUGGUGGAGAAUAGAGAUGGGCAAAAUAUCCCGGUUAUCCGCCCAUUUAAAGUUCACAGUUACGGUUAUGGUAAUUGAACGGUUAUGGGUACUACCCGUGGUUAUAACGGGUAUCUAUUGGUUAUGGGUAUUAUCCGCGGUUAUAACAGGUAUUCAUUUACCCAUUUAAUUUCAUAUAUGUAAAAUUUAUAAUAUUUUUAACAGUUAUAACGCGUUUUUGUAUUUGUUGCCAAACUUUUCGUAUACAAAAAAUUUGAAGCACAAGAAGCCAACAAGGAGAAAGAUCAAAGAGCUUACUUGAAGCUUAUGAUCUAUCCUGCGGUUAAUAGAAAGUACUGGUAUUAGUGUAGAAAAAUGUUUGUUUUUAGAAGCUUUAUUUUGUAAUCAUAUGAAUUAUAAUUAAAGACUUGCUUGGGUGUAGUAAAAAAAUAUCGUUUGUAAACUAUUAUUUCAAUUAUUAGAAUUGUAUGAUGACCUAAAUGAUUAAAAUAGAGAAAUGCAUGCUAAAAUGUAUUUAUAACAGUGUUUAAUUGUCAGAUUUUUUUUUUUUUUGUAAUUUUCAAGUUGUUAAAAAAAACAUGCAGAGAGGUGAAAAAAGGGAUUAAAAAAUGAUAAACGGGUUCAAAACGGGUAAACGGGUAAAUGAUUAUGGUUAAAUAGGUAAACGGUUAUGGGUAAAUGGGUACACGGUUAUGGGUAUGAGUAUAACCGUUUAUGCAAUUACCCAACGGGUAAACGGCUAUGUGGGUAUGAACAUAAAUGGUUAUGAGUAAAUAACCGCGGUUACCCGCCCGCUAUAACCAUUGCACAUCCCUAAUAGAGAACAUACGAGAAUAGCCGCUUGGAUGGUCAAUCCAAGAAGAGAAAAUCUUGCCACAAUCACGGUACUUGAAAAAAAAAACAAUUUUAAAGGAGGGAAACAAUCGCGCCUUUUUUUUAAUAGACUCUGUCGACGAUAUUCUUGACAAAUAGUCGGGUGAGCUUAUUUUUCACAACAUUUUAUUUAGGACUAGGUUCGGUUGGCAAAUCGUGUCAAAUUUCUUGUGCCAUUUGCCAGCCACAUAUACAUAAUUACCAAAAAUCAGUUACCGUUCGCCAACCAUCUUCUUGCGGUUGCCAAAAAUCGGUUCAACCAAAAUGAUUGGCUGGUUCGGUUGGUAAAUGGCACAACCGGUGGUUUCCACUUCUUCCUCGCUAUCUUCUAGUUGCAAGGGCUCAAUUUGAUUUUCAGAUUGGGAUGCUUGUUCGGUUGCAUUGUGUGGUUCAUUUUGGGUUAAUCCAUGUUGUGCACUAGCAAUUAAUUGGCUAGACUCCAUCAUCCUAAACAUAAGCAACACAUAUACAUUCAAAAUCAUAUAUAUGUACGUGUAUAUAUAGUAUCAGUAAUCAUCAUGUUAUCAAUUUUGUUAACAAUAUUUUCUAUAUUGAUUAUGGCAUGAAUCAUAUACAUAUACAUAUAUUUUUUAAACCCUAAAACUAAGGAGUUAUUUAUUUUCUAAGCCCUAAAAUUGAGGAGUCAAGCAUGUAAAAAAAUACUUAAAAUAUCUAAAUAGAAAAAGAAAAAAAAAAAAAAAAAUAUAUAUAUAUAUAUAUAUAUAUAUCGGUAGGUAUGGCAUACCGCCGACAUACAAAAUCAAUUACCAAAGCCAUGCCAUUAAUUGUCGGUUCGGUAAAAUGCCAACCGAUUAUGAAAAAAUGCCAAAACUAUACCAUACCAUUUUGAGCCAACCGGUAUGGUUCGGUCGGUAAAUCGGCUUAUGGCAAAAUUUCUCACCCCUAAUUUUAUUUGUCGCCUUAAACCUAUUGGUUUCUAGCCUACAAUUUGGAUAUUUUGUUGGGGAAAGAUUUUUGUACCAAUAAAAUUUUGCUUUGUCAGCUUAGGAUUUGUCGGCAAAAUGACAUUUUCUAGUCGUUAUAAUAUUAGGUAGAUCAAAUUUGUAAACUAUGUGAUGUGUCACCAAUAGGAAAAAAAUUCAGUGUGCUGAAAAUACAGUCUAGAACACCAAGUGUCAUAAUAUAUACUUGGUUGGAAAUUUUUUAUUUUCAAGUUUCCAACUAAUUGUAUUGUAACAGUUGGUGUUCCAAGCUAUUUUCUCGAUGCGUUGGAAAAUCUCUUCACCAAUUAAAAAUAAACAUAUUAAUUAACACUUAAGUAAUAAUCAAAGUAUCAACAACUACGUCAUAAAAUUUACGAAAUAUGAUCUUAAUUAAUGAUCUCCAUGGCAUUACCCUUUAUCUUAGCGUAUACGUACGCCUUCACAUGUUUAUUUGCUGAUAUGCAGCUUGAGUAAAAAUUUCUUUUUAAGAACAUAUAUGUGAAUAUAAACAUAUAUAUCUAGUGAUCCAUGUUGCGUUAUUUAAAAAUAAACAAAUUAAUUAAUUAAUAAAUGAACUGUGUGCAUGUCUGUGUAGAGUAAUCCAUAUGCAUGCUUGAAUCCUGAUCACCACGAAACCAUAAUAUAAGCUACUCAAGGCCCGGAAGCUAGGAUUGAAGAGAAAAACACCCAGUCAGAUUAAGCCAAUAUAUCAAAGUUAAUACUUCGAAAUGUAAGCUUUAAGAUAGAAAAAUCACUUACUACCUUGAGCAGUCGAGCUUCUUCAAUGGCAUGAAGCUUUUAGCAUGAGAUUGACUGCAUCACAACUAAAAUUUUCUCUUGGAAACUACAUAAGGAAUAGCAUGUAUACCUAUAACGUUGAGAAAGUACGCCAAUUUUUUCCUUCUGCACAUUCAUGUUUAAAAGUAAUCCUCAAAUGAACUUGCCCACAAUGAAAUGCAAUUUGAGGUAGUCGAGUGUGUUCCAUUUCCAUUCCAUGGGAAUUACUACUAAACUUUGAGAUGGUAAAGGAUUCAUGAAAUUUUUUACUUUUGAGAUAGCCUCUUUAACAUUUCUCGACUAUAACAAUGAGGGAAUACUUCACCUUGUAUCAAACAAGGGAGAGCGAAAAUCAACUACUAAUAGCAUCACAGAGCCAGCAGAAGAUUGAGGAGGCCAUGAAGAGGAGAGAGAAAAUACACUCUUUUUUUUUGUAAGGACAGAGAUAAUACAUUCAGUAAGGGGUACUGAUGUUUAUAUGCAAUGCUGAUUAGGUUUAAAUAGUCCUAUUUAUUCUGUACAGUGCCAAUAUUACCACCCGUUAGUACACUUUCAAGACACUGUACUCCAGUGUGUGCGCUAUGCAGUACGUAGUACUCCUCAUUUUUUGGGGAAAUUCAUUAUUGGUCUUCAUAUCUUCUUUAUUUUCCUUUUCCUCAUUGUGCCACGUGUUUAAAUCACUAAUUGUAGGUAAUCUUUCAAUUUAAUUAAAUCUUAUGUAAAAAAAGAUAUUUAAAUAUCAUUUAGUAUUACAAGAUAGUGAUAUUCCUCUUUAGUAUAAAAUUUUUAUAAUUAAAAGCGUUCAGUUUUUUAAUCUUCAUUUGAAUACUAUCUAUAAAGAAAAAUUAUUCGAAUAAGAGAUCGUUUAUGCAUUCAAAUGUACAAAAUGCAUCGACAGUGUGAGAACGAAUUAAUAUAUUUUUGAUGAAGUACAAUUAUUGAAUACAUUUGAAUGAUCAAAUGAUAUAUGAUUCAAAAUACAUAUUAAGAUAAUAAAUAUAAGUGAAUUGUUAUUAGCACUCCAAGAAUCUUAUUAUACACUCUAAAUUUUCUAUAUUUUGAAUGAAAAAUAAAUUUAUGAAGAGUGUAGAAUGAGAUUUUUUAAUGCUAAUAACACUUCUCUAAAUAUAAUUAUGAAAUUAAUAAAGUAAAGAUACAUGACCUCGUGAAUGAUGUAUGUAUUAUUCAAAAAAUUAUUAAAAACAAAUUGAAAAAGGACGCUGUUGUUGCCACCACUUAUGCAAUGAUCGUCGCUGCCAUCACCAACCCCCAACACCCCAUUACAGCUCAUAAAAGCACAUCAUAAGCAAUUUAUGAAAUAAAUUUACUGGAAUACUAAUUUCCCCCUUAGUUUAGGUCACCAAUGUUUAAAUUUAGGGGUGUGAUAUGCACAUACCUUUUUUUGCUUCUCUCACACUUUUUUUGUUGUUGUCGAAUCAGAUGAAUUGAAGAAGAUCAAUUGACAGAAAUUAACAAGGGGUGUAUGAAAAGUAAAAAUGGAUGUGUAGAUAACACAUCCCUAAAUUUAUCACAACUUUCAUUCCAAAUUUAAUUUUUAUGCGUAGUUUUGUUUGUUCAAAUUUACUUUGACAUUUCAAUUAGUAUUAAAAUCUAAUUUAAAUUUUAGCGUUCAAGCUAGAAAAAGUGUUCCAUUUAAUAUUUAAUCUCAGUUUUUCUCUUUAUUCUUUUAUUCCGAUUUGGUUGCAUCGUAUCUCCAUUUUUCUCGGUGUUGUAUGUUCAUAAGGCCUGGGAAACGUUGGCACGGAGUGAAGGGUACUCACUUUUUGGCCCAAAAUGCAUAAGGCAUGUAGAUAUGUUAAUCAAAUUUUGUAAACUAAAGGAUAUAGAAGUUGAUACUUAGAUUAUAAUUUAAGAUAAUACUAAAGAGACUAAAUUUGCAAACUAAAUGAUGUGUCACCAAUAAAAAUAAGCACGUUUAUCAACGCUUAAGUAAUAAAUCAAUCAUCAACUUUCAUGUCCUUUAGUUUCCAAAAUUUAAUAUACAAAUUUAGUCUCCCAAGCAUUACUCUAUUACUUAAGUAUUGAUUAACAGACUUAUUUCUUAUGGUGACAUAUUAUUUAAUUUACAAAUUUAGUCAACCCAACAUUACUCUUUUGAAAUUGUCUUGUCCACUGAUAUAAUUCUAUUUUUCUUGUGAUCAAAACUUCAAAUGUUAGCAAGUCGCACGUAAAGUCACUUCUGAGAGAAUGUGCUCACAUUGUAGUUGAAAGAUUAUGUGGCUAGCAACAUUACAAAUUUAAUUUGGUAUAAUUUAAAAUAUAGAUUGAGGAAAAAAUGAUCACAUUAACUAGAAACUGAAAAGGUUUCAGCACAGUUUGUUCAAGCAAGAAACUCAAUUUUGAUGCUACCGAUCUUAACAGCCUGAGCGCCGUACCUGGGCACUAAAGUCACCACCACACUCUCAUCAUCUUCAGCACCCAAAUCCUCCAACAGGUCCGUUAACCCCAACCUUAAACAACUCUUGCUCUUUUCCUUCUGCUUAUGUGGAACACUCACAAAACUCCCAGCAAACUCGCUCUUGUCGGGUCCACUCGGUGCCGCAUCCUCAUCGUCCACGUCAUUCACAUACACAUCAAACUUCACAGCCACAUCUUUGUCAAGCUCAAUCCCCUGAAUCACCAGUAUCUCCUCCUCAUCCUCUUUCUCCUUCUUGCUCCUCUUCUUCGGCUUCGGCCUUGACACCACCGUACUUAUCUUUGUCUCCAAAUUUAUUGGAAAAUCUUUACCCGCCACCACCUUCCCCGAUGACGUCGUCUCAGCGGCCUUCGCCACUCCAGCCGCCUUUGCCUUUCUCGCAAGCUUUGUCCGACGUGGCGUCGGUCUAGACUUGAGCCAUGGAAUCUCAACAUCUUCAUACGUAUACCCUAGCUUUUUAUUAUCAAGAGUGUCCCUCACCGUGACCCUAACAAGCUCAGCAUUCUCGUCAUAAAACAAAAACCCCGUAUCCAACCAAUCCUUAUCGUUAAUAUCUUUAUUUUUAGUCCCUAUACUUUUCCAAAUAUUCCACAUUCGAUCUAUAUUCGAAUGGUGCGAAAAAAAUAUUGGAUCCCUUGCAGCGGAGUAAAAAUUCCCCAUGUCUUCAAAAUUAGGUUGCGUGUUAUCUCCGGUCCAUGUAUGAACCGGACCAUGUGGGGUCGUUUCGAUUGAACCGGCCCCUGGAUCUGGUUCGGUGCCAGCCCUGUAGGGCGAACCAAAGAACAACAGCGGUUUCUUGGAGUUGGAAACCAUCUGCCUAUACAUGAUUUUGAGGUUGGCGUCGAUUUGAGCAUCCUUGGACAUUGUUUCAUCCGUGCCGUUAAAGUCAAGAUCGAUGAGAGUCGGCGGCUGAUGGCUGGCAGCGCGGAGCUCGUCGUAAAGCGGAGAGUCCGGGUUAGCGAACAAGGCAGGGAGUUGCAUGCCAGCUGGCGCGUCCCAGUUCCAAAACGGCAACGCGAACGUCGGAUCGUCUAUGAGUUUGGCCAAGAUUCUUUCGUGGAAGUAUAGGUAGUAACGAUGGAAGGGGAAGAAAAGCCAGGAUUGAUGGAUUUGGAGCUCGAGGUUGGGGAAGCCGACUUGAUCGUACGCGCCGUCGCAAUAGGCACAGUGGAUAUCGGCUUGCUGGGUGAAGCUACGCGGAUCGUCGUCCGGGAGGGCUUUCAUGAGCUCGAUGGCUUUUGAAUAUUUUUCGAUGUAGGCUUUAUCCACGGUGUGAGCUGCCGGCCUGACGCGGAGUUUGGUAGGGGAGGGGAAUUUGAAGUCUACGAUUUUUUGGGACGUUGGCGGGCAACAGUUGGUCGGGACUGCUCCACUUGGAAAGUCCGCACCUCCGCAUUUGGCUAGGUCAGGCGGCGACACUGGCUUUGCAACAGCGAAGGGGUCGCUGCCAAGACCAGCCACUCCACCGUACAGGCUUCCGAGACCUAUAAGUACAUGUCUUCUGUCUAGGUUUACUGGAGAAAGGUUUUCAUGGUCGUGAUCGUUGGAGCUAGUGGAAGGGUUUUUGUUUUGGUCACUACUAUUAUUCGUGGCUUUGCAUGAGACGGCUUGUAAAUUGGAAUGCCUAGGGUUUUCAAAUAAGGAAAUUCGGUGAUACUUUUGGGAGAAAGGGAAGAGAGAAGUUGUGGGGAUGAUACUUGUGGUGGAGGUGACGAGUGGAGCUGACAUAGAAGCCAUGGUUACUUGACUCUGAAUACUACGUUGUAUAGGCUUUGCUUUUAUAAUGUGUUCUAGGUUUUACUUUUCUUUGCACAGGUGGCAGGCCGUACACAUUGGCGGUCCUUAAGGGUUUGACGAGGAAUACUACGUAGUCAUUUAGUACAGGGCAACCAUGCACUAUAGCACGUGGCAUGUAAUAUUUACGUAGUCUCAGAAGGUGAAGCGGUUUUGGGCUUCUUGUGUACCAAUAAUAUUUACGUACUCAUUAUUCCACUGGAUGGAUUGCGUGCACGUGAUCUUUAUUCAAACAAAUCACUAUUGACCAUAUAUUGCAAUUGGUUAAUGUUAGGCAAAUUAAAUUUUUACAUCAAAUAAUGUGGUUGCUGAUUAUUGAAUUAUUAUUUAAGUUUGAUUAAUGUGCUUAUUUUUUAUCGGUAAUACAUCAUUUGAUUUGCAAAUUUGAUUUACCUAAUAUUACCAGUUAUAAUUUGUAUAAAUGGACUGGUACCUAACAUUACCAAUUGUAAUUUGUAUAAAUGGACUCGUACCUAACAUUACCGGUUGUCCCAAGAGCACACGCUACUGCUCAAGAAGCAAAGUUCUUAUUUGCCCAAAAAAAAUCAUGGUUUUUUAAUUGAUGCUCUCAUUUUAAUUUACUAGCCCCUUACUUGGCCCUUUUUAUUUAUCAUUUUAUACAUAUUAAUAUUUUGUUUGUAAAAUAUAUUAGUGUUAGUUUUAUCAAAAUUAAAAAUAAAUAAAAAACUUAGCUUUAGUAUUUAGUUAUUGAAAUUGUAAAAAAAGUGAUAAAGUAUUGGGUGCUUUGUUUGAAAAUUUUCAAAAUGAUAUUGUUUUUACCACUGAACCCCUGUUAUAUACAGUGAUGGCUAAUUUGUCAAGUUCUACGAAGUUGGGAUACCCAGCGUUUUAGCAUAUAACAUAGCUUAGUAUUUCAAGCAUAAUUAAUUAACGAAAAAUUAGUAUCCGGUCCCUAGUUUUUACUGUUCAUUGACUAAGACCUUAUUAGUUCUCAAAUUUUGAUUCAAGUCCCUAGCAUUAAUGUGAUAAUGAAUUUACAUGUUUAUUAUAUAAUUUUUUAAUAUAAAAAUUAGUAAUUAAUUUAGGGUUUAAUACUCACACCUCUAUUAAACUUCUAAUUAAUUUUCAAUUCAGACAUUUCCAAAAUAAUAAAAAAUUAAAUUAAAUUAAGUUUGUACCUAUUAGUUUUUUUUUAUAUAUAAAAAGAUUCUCAAUUUUUAAUCUUAAAUGUACAUCUUAAAUGUACCCAUUCUCAAAUAUAUCAAUUUGUUAUAUGUAAAAUGUACCCUUUUUUAAUAUAAAAUCCAUUCAAAAUUUUUAAUCCAUGUUUAAACUUAUAUGGGUACAUUCUUUUUCGUUGAUUUGAGAAUGUAUCCAUGUUUUGGUACAAUAAAUUUUUUGUUAAUUUUGGUUAAUGUACCCAUACAUAUAUGUACACACACACACACACACACACACACAAUAUAAUAGAGAGUAUAAUUUAUAUUUUAUUAUUUUUAAUCCCAUAAAUGAUGGGUUUUAUUUAAAAUCUCAUUAAUAUAAACAAUUAUAAAUUUCAAUUUUUAAUUUUUAAUUUAAAAAAUAUAGUAACUUACAUUAUUACAUUAAUGUCAGGGACCUCAAUAAAAAACUAAAAACUAACAAGGUUUCAAUCAAAGAAUAUUGAUAGCUAGGGACCACAUCCAAAGUGUCCCUUAAUUAAAGGGUAAAUUACAUAGUAACCCCUCAGGUUUGAUGUCUAUUACAACCCCAUACAACAUCUUUAAAACAUUUCACUUUCAUACCUCAAGUACUAUUUUAUUUCAAUAUAAUACAUCUGUUAGAUUUUCCAUCCAUUAAUCCGUUAAAUGCUGACAUGGAUACCACAUUUGUGCCACGUGGCUGCCAAAUGCGUGUCAUGUGGCAAAAAUAAUAAUUUUUAAAUUUAAAAAAAAAUGAAUCUUCAACCCAAAAAAAAAAAAAAAAAAAAAACCCCAAACCCAGAUCCCAUCAACCCCCCCCAAACGAUUAUCCCUUCCCCAUAUCCCCCAUCCCACCCCCCAACCCCCCCUCUGCGACCAACCUUACCAUAGCGCCCCCCAACCUCGCGACCCACCUCACUCAAGGCCCUAAUCCACACUACCUACAACCCAGAAACGAAAAAAAAAAACAAAAAACAAAAAACUCAUCUCCCUUUCCCUGCAACCCAAAUCCCAUCUUCCCUAAUGGGUAUGGAUUUAAGAAGUGGGGUGUGUAGAGGAGGGAAGAGGGUGGGUGCGGAGGAUGGGUAUGGUGGGUUGCAAGGAAGGGGGGUCGGGUAAGAUGAAGAUGGGUUUUUUUUUUCUCUCUCUCUUCUUCUUCUUCUGGGUUGCAAGUUGUAGGUUGGGGUUUUUUUUUGGGGGGGGGGGGGAGGGAGGGAGGGAAGACGACGUGGGGUUUGGUUUUUUUUUUUUAAUUUAUUUAGAAGAUUUAGGUUUUUUGAAAAAAAAAAAAAAAUUCCACGUGGCACAAAUGUGGCAGCCACGUCAGCAUUUAACAGAUUAAUAGAUGGAAAAUCUAACGGAUGUAUUAUAUUGAAAUAAAAUAGUACUUGAGGUUAGAAAGUGAAAUGUGUUGAUGCACAAAACCGAAGGUCUUUGAACAACGUAAAUCCGAUCGUGAAUAUGCAAGUAAUGUAAAUAACACAAGAUGUAUCGUGGUUCACUCCAAUGUUUGGGCUACGUCCACACUGAUUAUUGUAUUUCUCUGAGAGGUGAGGGGGAGAGCUUUGAGAAAGCUUAGAGCUUAGGGGAUGUGAGAAGGCUUAAGAAUUGGCCUCCCUUAUUUGUGAGGGUGAUGAGUCCUUUUAUAGAAUAAGGGAUCCUCACUUAUUACAUAUUUGCCCAUUCCUUUAUUACAUAAUUACAUUUAAGUCCCCUGAGUACUUGUACAAGGUCUAAAUACGGAGGCCCUAAGUAUGGUACAAACAGUAGUCCCCCAAGUCUUCAGUCAAGAGAGUCUUUUGGCUAGAGACUUGAAAUUCUGUCCAUGUGUGAGCCGAAAUAACUAGAUGUCGUCUAGAACUGAUAUUUGAUAUGCGGCAGUGCCCAUUUUGAAAUAAUGCUCAACUAGAAGUAGCACAUGCUGCGAGGCUGCUCUGCUUGUGUUGCCUUGGUUGGCUCGACUUGUGGCGUUGAAGGUGAGAGAGUCCCUUUUAUAGAAUAAGGGCUCGCUCCUCAUUACAAAGAUGAUGGGUUAGUUGGUGCUUGCGGUGAGGCGGAUGCUCAGCUGGCGGCGAUGCUCUCUAAUGAUAGUGAGGGAGUCCAUUUUAUAGAAUAAGGGAUCGCUCCUCAAUACAUAAAUAAUAGGUGCUCUCUAAUGAAAGUAAGGGAGUCCCUUUUAUAGAAUAAGGGCUCACUCUUCAAUACAUAAAUAAUGGGCUAAGUCCCCUAAGUAUUUUUUAUGAGGCCUAAUUGAGGCCCAAUAUAUGGUACAUAAUGUAGUCCCCCAAGUCUUCGGUCAAUAGAGUCUGUUGGCUGGAGACUUCAAAUUGAAUCCAUGUAUGGGCCGAAGUGGCGGUUGUUCGGAAGCGGUAUUUGUAUACCCUGCACUGAAGCUUUAUAGGUGAAGCUUUGCAAGUGAAGCUUUGAAGCUGGAGCUCAGUAAAUGAAGCUUUUGAAGCUAGAGCUUUUGUAAAUGAAACUUUUGAAGCUGGAGCUCUAUAAAGGAAGCUUUUGUAAAUGAAGCUUUUGAAGCUGAUUCACAUGAGUGAUGCUCAUGAAUGUUUAUGUUGAUUGAUAUGAGUGAUGCUUAUGGAUGUUGACAUGAGUGAUGCUCAUGGAUGUUGACGUGAUGCUCAUGAAUGUUAACAUGAGUGAUGCUCAUGAAUGUUUAUGUAUGAUUGAUAUGAGUAAUGUUCAUGAAUGUUUAUGUAUGAUUGACAUGAGUAAUGCUCAUGUAUAAUUUGAAGUACUGGGCAUACUUUUGAUUACCUGGUUGGCGAUAAUAGCGGCAGGGUGCCGAAUAAUUUUUUGUAGUACUGGGCGUACUUUUGGUCACCUGGUUGGUGAUAAUAGCAGCAGGGUGCCGAAUAAUUUUUUGUAAUACUGGUCGUCCUUUUGGUCACCUGGUUGGUGCUAUUUUGAGCUUAUGGGCCUUCGCCCUCUACACAACAUUCCAGCCUAUUUAUUUUGGGCUUUACCGUUUUUUUUAAUUACCCUAUGAUGGGGUUUAUACAGAUGUCUCCGAAAGAUAUGAAAAAUAAAUUACAUCAUUCAAAAAUAAAUCCGACCCUCUGCUCAAUGGGUCACGCCAAUAAUUCUUUUUUUUUAUGCAUGCCAUCACCACCGCAAUUAUGUCUGCUUCUUUUUAUCUUCUUUUGCUUUCUGCUUUUGCUUUUACUUUAUCUUUCUCUUUUGGCAUAUGGCAGACAACGCCAAAACGGAAUAAUGAAUUAUUAUGAGAACAUGAAUCUUAUCUUUUGCCUGGUUUUCCACUAGUGCUCGUGGUAUUCUCAGGAGAUUGGAUCUGGGGGUAGGCGACUACCCCAGCACCUUGCCCUGAUACGUAAUAGCCUGAUGUCCCACUGCCAUCUCCAUACUGGAAGGUGUACGAACAAUGGUUAUUCUGUGUGGAACAAAUAGAAUCCGAUUGAGAUUCAAGACUGCACCUUCGAUCUGAGCAAGAAAUGAAUUGUGACGUUGAUGAACUUCUAGGAGGAGAAGCAGAGGAUCUUUGACUAUGAUGAUCUUUGAAUUCCAGAUGAAACUGAAUAAAAUGCAGGUUGUGGAGCUUGAUGUGGGCCCAGAUCUGCUUGACAGCUUUGGGGCGGGAGGAUUCCUUGACACUGAGGAAGAUUCCCAGAGCUGGAGGGAUGAGAAUCGACUUCAUAAUCCCGAUGGUGGGUUUGUGCUUGGUCGAAAGAUCAUUUCUGGCAGGGGAAAACAUGUACCAUACCUAUUGCAAAUCUUGCAAAUUCUCUGCUUCUCCAUGGAAGAUGAAGAGCAUCGAAUCUCUGUUUUCUCUCUCUCUCUCUAAAACGUUUUCGUUAUAGAGUGCCCCAAUAGAAGUGGACGGGCAGUGAGCAUGCCAUUUAGUGCCUCCUCCAAGACAGUAACUGAUACGGUGGUCUUUAUUGGCACUCCAAGUUUACUAAAAAGGGCAGCAAAAAUAGUAUUUACAGCACCCAAACUUGAAAGAUCUAGCUCCAACUAGUGGCUUUCUGUUUCAACAGCCUGAAAGCCGGCAGUGUCAUACCGACGCCGUUUGUCUGGAUCAAAUAAUAUAUUAUAAGAAAACAUGACCUUCUUGAAGAUAUCAGCUGUUUUAGAGUCAUUAGCAUUUUUGUCAGGAUGGUACUUGAGAGCCAUUUUCCGGUAAGCACUUUUGAUUUCCUGGUUGGUGGAAUUCCUAUUGAGGCCGAGGACCGCAUAAGGGUUUUGUCGGAGCUGCUUCUUAGCUUCUUGCUUCUCCGAUUUUGAUCGGCUGCCCUGCAUUUUUGAAAUUGACGGUCAAUUUCUUCACAAAACCCUAGAAAUUGCCUCUCGAUUACCUCCGAAACACAUAAUUCACGACUCUUGGUUGAAAUUUUUUUUUUUCAUUUCAAAGAAGUGGCGGAGGUAAAUCAGUUGUCACAUAGCACCGGAGCAUGAGGAAAACCUAGAAAACCAAGAGGCAGAGAGACUCCAUGCACAUCUAACCUGGAACCUUGCAGGAGAGAGCAGAGAGAAAGAGACAAGAAAGAUUGAGGGAGAAGCGAUCUUGGUGCAUCGUCUGUGAUUCCUUGGUGAUUUGCUCGAUCGGGACUCUGAAUUCGUGCAAGUCAUUGCUGUUAAGCAAGAAUCGCGAGGAGUCGGAGAGCUUGGAAAUCGAGAAGGAGAGAGGGCCUUUAGUCAGGGCUUGGAGGGUGUCGGACUCCGUCGGCCAAGAUUGGUGCACGGUCACGGCGUCUGGGCCCAUGGCGGUUGUGUAAAUGGGGGAGGUUCUAGGAGUCCAAGAAAGAAGAAGAAGCAGCGACCAUAGAUCUGGGAGUCCAUGGCGCUUGAAAGAUACGGCGAACAAGUCGGACUUGCUGCUGGGCAGCUGGCGGUGAUAAUGUUGGUGCAUGGGUUUUGGAGUGGGAGUGUUUGGAAUGGGUUUUUUGUUUAGUUUCUAUGUGUUUUUUCACAGAGAGAGAGAGAGAGAAGUGAUGGUGUUUAAGGGAUGAGUUUUGGAGCUUAGUGAAUGCUUUUUCUGGAAAAGCCCAGUGAGGUUUGUGGGUUUUUGCAGAUUUUGCAGAUUCGCGGUGGAGGUGAAAGAAUGAAAGAGAACCGACACAACUUUUCGUAUUGAUUCCCACAUACGGCGCCAAAUGUUGAUGCACAAAACCGGAGGUCUUGGAACAACGCAAAUCCGACCGUGAAUCUGCAAGUAAUGUAAAUAACACAAGAUGUAUCGUGGUUCACCCCAAUGUUUAGGCUAUGUCCACACUGAUUAUUGUAUUUCUCUGAGAGGUGAGGGAGAGCUUUGAGAGAGCUUAGAGCUUAGGGGAUGUGAGAAGGCUUAGGAAUUGGCCUCCCUUAUUUGUGAGGGUGAGAAGUCCUUUUAUAGAAUAAGGGUUCCUCACUUAUUACAUAUUUGCCCAUUCCUUUAUUACAUAAUUACAUUUAAGUCCCCCGAGUAUUUGUACGAGGUCUAAAUACGGAGGCCCUAAGUAUGGUACAAACAAAAUGUUUUAAAGAUGUUGUAUGGGGUUGUAAUAGACCUCAAACUUGAGGGGUUACUAUGUAAUUUACCCUUAAUUAAAAUAAGGGCAAAUGAAGAGGAUGGUUGAACUUGUUAAGUUUCUUAAGUGUGUCUAAUUUAAGUGUGUUGUUAAUAAACAUUUAUUAUGGAGGCAAAGAGAGGGAAGGUGCGGCAUAGAAAGAGAAGAGAGAGAUAUGUAAUUGUGAGUUGUGUUUUAUUCCAUCCCAUUGUGCAUUUAUUUAUAUUAGUUGGGAAAGUUAAUUCUUUAACCUUUUAGGAUUACAACUCUAAUAGGAAAAUAUAUAAUCUAAAAGAUAUGGUAGAAUCCCAUAAGAAUAUCCUAGAUAUGUUAGGAUUUACACAAUCAUAUUCCUAUUCCAAUAGGACUGCAAAACAUUUGUAUUUUUUUAUAAUUUUUUUGAUAAUUUGUUGGCAUUUUCAAUUUUUGUUAACAUUGAAAAUAUAACGGUUCAGAUGAAAAACCUUUGGAAAUCCAACAUUGAAAAUAUAACAGUUUGACGUUGGGCUGUGGUGAAGGAGGCUGGGCUGUCACGUGGGUGGGGCCCUCCCUCUCCCACUUGGUGAUUCAAAGGGCGCAGGCCCGUGCAACAAUUGAGGCAGCCCAUAGAGAUCCUGCGUUUCACCCAUUUGCCAUUUUUUCCACCGCUGGAGCACCAAAAUUCGGUCCAAAGGCAGGGGUUCCAAUUGCAUGGGCAAUUUGGUUUCCGCUGGAGGUGCUCUUUGUCGACUUUGUUUAUUCUUUCUUUUUAGCUUUGCAGUAAUAUUGAAGUAAUCACUCCAAUUGUAUCCGAACUUUUGUUGUCCAUCAAUUUGUAUCAAAACUAUUGGUUAAUUUACAUAUUCAGACUAACCUUCUCAUUAUUUUUAGUAUUUUUAUCAUAAAUAAUAUCUAAAAUAAUCACAUUUUAUUCAACAACCACUCAAUUAAAAAUUAAUUAAUGUUGUUUCUAAACCAUUACAUCGAGCUUUUGUAAAUACACAUCAAUAUUGCAGCGAUCCGAGGCAUUGUUUUCUACGCCUUGGAUUUGGCGAAUUGGAAAAGAGAAGAGUUACGAGUAAAAGUCCCUCACAUUAAGAGGGCUCCUCCUCGGGGAGAUGAAGAUGAUGAUCUUUUGUUUUUGUUUCUUAAUGAUUAAUCCACGCAGCAACAUAUAAUUAGAUUGUUGGGAUCUACUCAAGUUCCAUAUCACGCACUAAUAUAAAGUUUGACAAACGAAACGAAAUAUGUGCUCUCGAAAGCAAAAUGAGGGCACUGCUCCAAGAACAGGAAGGGCUCCUUGUCGAGGUUGCCAUCCGCCAUGAGGGAAAACCGGAAGAAGUUAGACAACAAUGAUGACAUCGAUUUGCAACACCCAUAUUGGGACAUCAAACUGUGAAAUAAAUACUCAAAACUCCUGGAAAGUCCUCGGGACAACAAACUUUUAUCUCCUUCAAAUAUUUCAUUUUACCAAGUUUUAUGUUUGAAGGGAGGGAAAAAAAGAGAUGAGAGAAUCCUACUCCUUAUUCUUGAAUAUAUUCAGGAAUAACUAUUGAAUAAAGAGAGAAUGGAAGGGGAUCGAAAGAGGAGGGAAGAUAAUUCUAGUCCCAAACAUAAAAAGGACCACAACUUUUAAAUUAUCAGCACGAUCAUCAUCUGAUUGAAGAGACCAUUCAUUGUGAAACAUAUCGUCAAUCAAUAUGUCUAUAUCUAUUUAUAUACCACAUUUUUGGAGUAGGAUUCUCCCCCCUCCUAUUACCAUCCCCUUCCAUCCCCUUCCAUCCCCUCCUUUCAUACUUUUUUUUUUCUUAUUCUCUAUAUAAAAAAUUCAAAACAAGAUGUAGAUGUGUCGUAAUCGCAAUAGUUUAAAUAAAAGGAGAUGGAAGGAGAGAUAAAUUACGAGGGGAGAGAAUCUUACUCCCACAUUUUUCUUCUUCAUAAACAAAAGAGAGGUUCUAGAUUACUUGACUCUAUGCCUCAUUUUUUUCAUCAAGUAUUUGUGCUAAACGGGUUCAGUUUCAAGUAUUUUAGUUUUUUGUCAAAAUUGAGAAAACUGAAAAUCAAACAUUAAUAUGCAAAAUUAAAAAAUCAACACAUAAUUAUUUAGAAAUCGCAAUAGAAAAGAAAAAAUGGAGGUUUGUGAUGAAAAAUCUUUUAUACUAAGUAAUUUAGUAUCCUUAUGCAUGAAGAUAAUCAAUUCGUUCGUUAUGGUCAGACUCUUUUUGAAUUUUUGAACACAUUCUCCAUAGGGCCUUCUUAUUUGUUCCUUCUCCGAGUUGGGGUUAUGGAAGAAGUAAAAGAAGGAACCAAGAAGAAAGUAUUGGCAACAACCGAUUUCGUUACGGGACAACUCUUGAUAUUCAUAUCGAUCUAUUAUGUACCUUUGCAUCUAGCAUUAGACAAUAACUGUCAUAGCUUUACCAUAUUUUUUUGUUUCAUUUCUUCUGAAACAAUAACACACACUUUUUUAUUAUGUGUCUAAUACUAGGAAUUCAAUACAUAAUCUUAGCAUUCAAUAGUUAUUCCUGAAUAAUUUCAUUUUUCAAUUGAUCAACCAUUUCAUUUUUCCAAGUUCAAUCAAUGUUAGUCACAUUAGUCAACAUUUAUAUAUUUUGAUGCAACAACAAUAUGUUAUUUGUAACAAGUGAUUUUGCUAGUUGGUUAAUUGGUCACAAGUUAAUGUUCGGUUCAGUUCAGCUUUUCUCUCGAUUUUUUGCGAUUCGGUUUUUUCGAUUCUCUUUAGAUUCGGUUCGAUUUUGUUUUUUUAUUUAUACUUAAUUUUUUUUAAUCUGAAAACACCAAGAACAACACAAGCAUACUCAAUCAAACAACUAUCCUUCUCCACAAAUCACAGUAAUAAUUACAUUCAUUUAGCUAAAAUGCAAAUAACUAACAAACUCACAAAAAUCGAAUAAAAACUACAAAUUGCUUACUCUUUUUCUUUGGGUUUCACUCGAAAAGUGUCGGUAAAAUUUAGGGUUUGCAAGAACGCAACCGAAAUCCAAAACGGAGGCUCUGUGGCUUGUGGGCUGCUAUUGAGUUCCAGUACGGAAAACCUUGCUUACUCUCUAUCACGGUACAAAGUAUCAGUACCUUUAGCACUGUAUUUGGUAGAACCAAAUUAAAAGCUAACAUCAAUAACAACUACCAGAGACAUAAGCUCUUAUCAAUGCUUUGGAAACAGUCAUGUAUCUCCAAGUGUAAUGAUAUAAUUAGUAAGAAAUUUAAAAGAAAAAUGGUGAUUUCAUAUAAAAUCAAUAAAAAGUUACAAUAUUGACAAUAUAUCAACAAUUUUUAUGGGGUAAAUUACAUAGGACCCCCUCAGGUUUGAGGUCUAUUACAACCCCAUACAACAUCUUUAAAAUAUUUCACUUUCAUACCUCACCUACUAUUUUAUUUCAAUAUAGUACCUCCAUUACAUUUUCCAUCAAUUGAUCCAUUAAGAGCUGAAUUGGUUGCCACAUUUGACACGCCCCGAUCCCGAUAUCCUCGGGAUAUCAGGAUGGUCACGUGCUGGCCGACACCCGAGGGUGACGAAAGCCAUUUAUUGAGUGCAAUUGCUGAAAAUAAAGGAUAGAUAAAACUUAUAAAUGUAAAAGAAUAAGGAAUAUGCAUUUAAGGAACGUGUUCAGAGCAUACAACUAACUAGAACACUAAAAGAAUGAUAUAAAAUGGAAUGAAUAAAAGAAUGAGUCUUACACCAAGAGGACUCGAAGAUGCCGAUGCGGAAGUACCUUGAUUGUCGGGAUUGUACGCCUCGAUCCUAAAUCCUGAAGGGGGCGCAAAACAAACAUGAGUGGACCAAGUUGAUAUAUAUAUAAUAAAACAGUUAUCAAUAUACUAACCCCCAGGUUUAUGAAAACAAAUAUAUAAUGAUGAACAUAGGUUUUCCGAAACCUAGCAUGAUGUGCAGUAUCUCAAAUCAUAACUCAUAUAUAAUAAUCACUAGUGAAUUGUCCGAUAACCUGCAGGCCCCAUGCCGGCUCCCCGUCUCUGAGCAGACAGUCAGAGGAAAAUACACUUCAGGCCCCAUGCCGGCUCCCCGUCCCUGUGCUAAAUAGCCAGAGGAAACACACUCCAGGCCCUAUGCCAACACCAAACCGUCGCCCGGGACGGACCGGAAUCUAUUCCUACGUCCCGUAGCGGAAAUGACCACUAGGUAAGUACAAAACCAUUGAACAUACAUAUAUUGAAAAACAACUUCAUAGUAUAAAGUCAUCCAUCAUCUAUACUAUAAAGAGGUGUUCGAAACAUGUUCUAAAUAUCAUAUCGUCAUCCAUCAGAUAUUCUAUAAGAACACGGGUUAUAGGAAAAAUAGUAAUAAUUCAAGGUAGCCUCAGUAAGCAUGUUAUCUCAAAACGUUUCAUAAAACGUAAUCAUUAAAUCAUGCAUUUCAUGUAUGCAUUUCUACUAUUAAAACAUGCUUUUGAAGGGGUCCACUCACAGUACUUAGCCGCCGAAGAGCCACGCAAACUAACGUCACCAAUAUUGCCCCUAAGCACAUAAAUGGUCCAAUUAAUAAAACUAUAUAAUAGCAAUUGGAUUUGGGAAAACGGACGUUGGAAACGGAUUCAGAACGUCGAAUUACCCUAAGAAGGGUCCCGGACGAAAACCCGAAAAGUCAACUCUAAAGUCAAUGUUGACCGGAGGUCAACGGUCAAAUUAGGUCUAACGGGUUUUAGGCUUGAAAUCCGGAUUAGGGUUUAGGUUAAAUAGGAUUAGGAUUUAUUGGGUUUUGGAAUUCUAAGGUUUUUGGGUUAAAAGGGUUUAGGGUGAAAAUGGGUGGUUUGGGCUUAAUCCCAAACUCACACACAACACACACACACACUACACAAACCCUAAAACACACACACACACACGGGCUGCACUAGGGCAGCCCUCACAACACUUCACAAAGGCCCUAAGGCCUUAUUAAAGGACAGGGCUUUAAGCCCUUUAAAGGAUACUGGCCCAAGGCCCGUCAAAAUAAGGCCCGAGGCCUUUGGGUUUUAAAAAGAACAAGAACAAAUUUAAAAGAAAAGGGGCUGGGGUCUACUGGGCUAAGAUAUAACGGGCUUAAGGCCCGUGGGGUUUUCUAAAGGGCCUGAGAGGCCUGGGUUUGUCGAAGGAGAAGGCCGGAAUUUCGGCCGGAAAACCACCCAACUUUAAAUGGCCAUAACUUUGUCAAUACUCAACGAAAUCAAGCAAGACAAAAAUGAAAGUUGUAGCCCUUGAAGCGACGAAGAGAAUGGUUCCUCACACGACGUCUAACUCGCCGUGGUUUGGCCGGAAAAUGCCUCGAAAUCCGUCGGACUCGCCGGAAACUGGGUAAGAUUCAAAUGAGUAUAACUUCUUCAAUACUCAACGAAAUUAAGUGAAACAAAAAGGAAAGUUGUAUUACUCGACGAGACGAAGAGAUUGAUACCUUACACGCCGGCCAACUCGCUGUGGUUUGGCCGGAAAUGGCCUCGAAAGGGGCGGUGCUCGCCGGAGCUUACUCCGUGCCGUCGAACUCGCAGGGUAGGGUCCGGGGUUCGUUGCAAGCCUCUCUUCGAUGGUGACUCGGUCCUAGUGAGUCCAGGGGAAGAGAGAGAUGCGAAAGGUUGAGGGAGAGAGAGACGGGAGAGCUGAGAAAGAGAGAGCUACGGGAGGGAGAAACGAAGAAGAAGAAGAGAGAGAUCAGAAAACAUAAAAAAAAUAAACAAGGUGGGCCCCACGGGCUCACCAAUUAAGGCUUUAAAACAAUUUUAAAAUAUAAAAGAGGGUUGGGGUGUUUCAACAUUUGUACCACGUGGCAAAAAAAAAACCUAAAUCUUCUAUACAAAAAAACUAAAAAAACCAAAAAAAGCAAAAUCGAACACUCCACCCCGCAAAAAUCCUAGCAUCUUCCUUUUAUUCCCCACAACCCCAAAUUCCCCCCCAAAACCCCUAAAACCCAAACCCUAAUUCCUCCCCCACAUGAAGAAAAUCCCAGUCCAAUUCAAUCCCAAUUACCUCAAAUCCCACCAUAGAAACCCUAAAUUUUGGUUCCUCAAUCCCUAGAUUUCCCACGCCUCUGUUGCCUACACCUUAUCAAUCUUUAGCUUUCUCCCUCAUCCCCUCCAUGAACGACACUUUCUCUCAUCCGCUGUUCCCCAGCAACGGCACCGAUACCUACGAGGCCUGGUACGGCAACAUCCAGUACCUUCUCAACAUCUCCGCCAUCGGCUCAUUCUUAUGUGUCUUCUUUUUCACCUUGGUCAAGCUUUGAAGCGAUCGCCGCCGCAUGCCCGGCUCGUCCUCCCUCGUUGCUAAGCUCUUCGCAGUGUGGUAUGCUACCUGUCGAGAGAUUAUGCUCCCAUGUGGCGCUGAGGCCAUAAUACUCACGCACCCAUCUACACACCCACACCACCACUACCGUGGACUCUCUCUCACUCUCCCUCGUCUUUGUAGAGCUAGGUGAAGCCUAGAAACCGAGAACUAGCUCCAGCAAACCCCGUGAGUUUCGAGCCAGAUCCCUGCCGACUCCGACCAUCCCAUGACCAAUCUAAGGUACAAAACAUUUCCCCUUGACUCUAUGCUCUUUUUCGUAUGUAGAUCGUAGGGAAAAGCCCACAGAAUGAGAGAGAAUAGUGACCUGAGAGAGUCCACGGUGAUGGUGGUGUGUAGAUGAGUGCGUGCGUGGGUGUACUGUCGGGGAUAGAGUCUGAGAGAGAUAGAGAGUGAAAGAGUCUGAGAGAAGAGUGACUUGCGAGAGUGAGAGAUUCGAGAGAGACUCGGGAAAAGAUUUAUGGGUUUGGGUUUUUCUGGUUUUUUAUUUUUAUAAUAAUAGGGUUAAUAUUAUAAUAUUUUUAAUGUAUAAAAAUUUCUUUUUUGCCACGUGGCAGCCACAUCAGCACAAAUGUGGUAGUUGUAGAUGCAAAUUUCUUCCUCUUGAUCUUGGACAAUUUUGCACCUACAAAACAAUUAACACCUUAGGUUAAGGCCAAAAGCCUCACACACCCACAAUGAAUGGGGGGCUUUGGCCGAAGAACCUCUGUUGCCAAAGUUAGAAUUUAGAGAGAAAGAGUCUUUACAGAAUUUUGGGAUUUUUGCCAAAGUGUUGGAAUGGCUUUCUGGUGAGAACGGGAUCACUUUUAUAAGGAUAGGAAGUGGUCGGCCUAGCUAGGGUUUUUGGGUUUAAUUUAGGUUUAAUUCUUCAAUUUAUUUGGCUAAUUAAACCCUAAAGAAUAAAUUGGUGGUUACAAAAUUGAUUAUUUGUAUAAAUGGGGUAAUAAAAUGGAGAAAAGUGAAAAAGGUUAGGAAAAGGGAGGUAGCUAGCUUCUUAGUAGUUUUAGGUGUGAGUGGGUGUUUUAAUUGAUAAUUAAGGGAUUGAUUAGGUAAUUAAUCCCUUAAUUAAACAAUUUUUAGGGAAUAUGAAAGGAAAUUAUUAUUUAGCUAAUUGAUUAGCUAAAUAAUGGAAUACAAAAUAUAUAGAAUAAAUUAGGCUUUAGGUAUUACCUUAUAGAAAUGAUUUGAUGAAAUAGGCUUUAAAUUGUUAACUAUUUUGGGCACUUUUGACUUGGUUGAGGAUGAUUGUCUGCCGCUCGCACGUAGGAAUCUCGAUAUGCCUUAAGGGUAUUUUUGUCCUCUUUUACCCAAAAAUCCACGUGUCGCCUUGUGAUUAUUUUUGGCUCCACAAAUGCCCCCACACCUGUUGGGCUGCUCGCAGAAAAUGGCAGCAGGUGUAGAGAUCAUCUUGCUUUAGGAAACGUAGGACUACUUCCUCUUUAGAUGUAGAUUCUCUCUUUAAUAGGAAAUUAGGUUCUUCUAGGAAAGGGAAAUAAAUUUCUGUUAAAGCCUAUUUAAGUCUACCUUAAGUGGGUUAUUAAAUCAACUUUGGAGAGCGAUUUCUUAUACCCUACAAGAGAGAGGGAGCUUAGAGAAUAUUUGUUCCCCCUCUUCUAGCAAUCUUCUACAUCUUUCCCGUGCAAAGGAUCGUCUUUCGUUGAUUUCUUCGUCUUCUCCGUGCCGCACCGAUGUAAGAAAAAUUUAAUUUUUUGCUUAUCUUCUUCUUGGAUAGUACUAUUACAGGGCAACCGUUAAGGUAGUGCGGCACGUCUACUGGCAGGGGCUAGGAGUUGGCUCGGCAUCGGUCGAUGAGGCAUUAUGGCAGGGGCCACUGCUUAGGCUGUUUGGCUUGGCUAGAGCCAAUGGCAGCUUGUGCGGCUGGGGUCGCGGAUUGUGGCGUUGGGGCGCAAUGCUAGGCGAGCCACAUGGUUAAUGUCCUUUAGGCUCUUAGACCUUACUCGGGCCAGGCUAGCGACUGAAAGAAAUGAGGAGGUCGUGGGCCUCAUGGGUUGUUGGAAUGUUGGGCAUGCAGGCCUCCUGUCUGCUAGAAUGCUAGGUUGAGCUCCUCUGCUGAGUACCGUGAAUGGCGUUGGCUGCUUAGUUCUUUUUACAGAGAGAAAGGUGGGCUGCUCCCGAAAGAGGAAGUAAAGAGGAUCAAGGUGGAUGCAUUGGCUCGUCUAAUCGCUGUCGUGGAACCUCCUAUGAAUGAAGAUGGAAAUAAGAGAUCUUCCCUGCCUACUCAAGAGAUGCCGAUCGAGAAAAAUUGAAGACUUUCUCCACUGCUGCUCAUGAUGAUUUGUCUGCUGUCGAUAGGCCUGUGAUUGGCAUGACUUCUUCCAAUGGGAAGAAAAAUGAGGCUGCUAGAUCUGAUCAUGUGGUGCCUUCCAUGUUGAGAAUUGCUAGUACAAUUGUUGAUAAGAUUGCUUAGCGCAAAGGUUUUAUCAUGCCCCCAGUACCGAAGUCUGUACCAGGACUUUCGUUUGGAGCAAAGUCUGGUUCACCUUUGGAGAUACUUGCUAUUAUGAAAAGUGGUAAGGUGGACUCUGCUGCUAAAGUGGCGUCAAGGCCCACUCCCUUUGUUGCUGAGACUGAUUCGCCUGCUAGGAAGGAAGAUACUACUUGUAUGGGCAGCUGUGAGAAAUCCACUAAACUUGCUUCUGGGGAGGCUGCUGAGAUCAUUGUGCUUUUGAAACUAUAUCUGCUUGAAGACAUGGACGCUUGUGCCAAGUUUGUUGAUGGCGGUAGAAAGGUUGUUUACCUAAGUUCCUUUGCGAAACAUACGACCCAAUAUAAAAUGACUGCUCUGCUUACUAGGAUGCAUAAAUAGCAAGGUUGUCAAGGAGGUGGCGAAGAUUAUGGCAGCUAAAGCUUAUUCCUCAGUCGAGGAGAUCAAAAGGUUGAAUUAUGAGCUUGUUGCUUUGAAAGAAAUGGAAGAACUGCAACACGUUCGUGUUAGUCUGUUUGAGAAGAAUGAGCAGCUAAACGGUAAGAAUGAUGGGCUUGAGGUUUCUCUAUUUUUCCGGAAGACUUGCUUACUUUUACUUUUGAGGCUUCCAUUGGUGAAGUAGUUGGAGACGUUAGUGCCCAGGCUUAGGCAACCGGGGGUGAAGCACCGGAUGAUGCCGCUGCUAAGAACGUUACGGCUGCUGAAGGUGUGGAGACCAAGUAGUCGUGGGAUGUCCAAGCUGCUGUAGUGUAGUAUUUUAGGUAGCUUUUAUGAUUUUCUUUGUUUUUCCUUGUAGCUCUUGUUUUGCUUGAACUUCUUCGGCCUUUGCUAGUUGUAUAAACAUGUUUUCCUUCGCUUUUCUUCAUCUUCGCUUCUUUUGUUCAUGCCCUAACCUUUAGACUUGAUAGACCAAUGGCAGGCAUGCUACUUUUUUAUAAGCAGACAAGCUCGCGUAGCCUAUGCAGCCGUAAAUGUUGGUGUAGAACUUUGCAAAGUUGUUAGCCAUUAGGUUGGUAACCAGAUACCUUACUUACAGAAGUAGACAAGUCCGCAUAACCACUAGGCUAUUAACCUUGACUUUCUCCAAUUCUGUAGGUUGCGUAGCAAGUAUCACAACACUUUAGGAAUUGGUAUAGGUUGCUCCGCACUUGGCAGAGGUGAAGCCUAUCGACUACGUAGCAUGUCGGCAGUGGAUAAAACUUCCAUAUAUGCGCGCUAGCUUGUUUAACCUUUCACAAGAAUGUGCGGUUGUAUAAGUCUAGCACGGUUUUACUGCUUGAAGGGCAAGCCGUAGGCAGUCUUCCGGAAUCCGUAGGCUACCUUAAUGUACUCGGUAGCAGCUUUAGGGUUCCAGGGCAGCCGUCUAUAGAGCGUACUGCGUAAUGUGCCCCAUCCGUCUCUAGCUCCCGGUUCCCCACAGAUUAGACCAAGAGACCCAAAAUCCUUCAGUUAGUUAAGCCUUGAAAAAGACCAUUGUGGCUACUUCUAGGAAUCCCGGCUCAAGCCAUCGUACAUCUAGUUAUACUAGGGUAGCCAGGCUCAUCAGCGUCUGGAUAUUCGGAGUGUAAAGUUUAUCCUCCCGUCUUAGAGAGCUGACCCAUAUGAGUGUCGGGGAAUUGGUUUACCCUCUCACACUAGAGAGUAAUUAAUUUACCCUCUCGCACUGGAGAGCAAUUAGUUUACCCUCUCGCACUGGAGAGCAUGGUUGGUCCAUCGGGGGGCGCAAUUCCUGCGAUGAGUCCCUAAGAAGGGCGCAGUCUUCUUUUGAAGUGCAGGAAUGAUUAGUUGUUAUAAGCAUGUGAUCGAGUCAAGUUGUGAUUACUUCUAAAUUCCUCAUUGAAAAACGAGUGAAACGAACGAGAACUUAGCCGUAAGGUAGGAACUGCAUAACAACUGGAUAGUCCUCAACUUGUGUGGUGGUACCCAUCGAGCUUCUUGAGUCUUCGGGCUUUGAUGUAGUGGGAGGUUACACAUGGCACCUUUUCAGAUUGUAGGCGCUCUACUGCUUUUCGAACUUUUUUUUUGUUGUGUAAUUGCUCUUGCUGCCUACUCGGCUAAUCUUAUACAGACUUUCUCGGAUGAGAUUCAUCUUUUUGGAGCUUCUCUGCUGGCAGUGAUGAAGGCUUUUCUUAGGACUAGAUCUCUGGGCUGGAACUGCCAGAUUUUGGCCUUUUUGUUGUGGCUGGAAAAGAACCACUGCUGGUAAGUUGUAAUGCAGAUGAUAGUCUGCUCGCACUUCUCCUCUGCCAAAUUUAAGCUUGUGGCCAUCUCCUUUCGGUUGCUCGUCUUUUGGUGUUGCGAUGUGCCCAUAGACAUCCAGGGAGUUUGUCUGGCCAUUUUCUUUUCUUAUUGGUAGGGGAUUUCUUGUGGCAGUCGAGGAUCAUCUUAGUGGAUGUUUUGGCCAGCCUAUUGCCUUGAGGAUAUCUUGGCGUAGACAUGUGCUGCUUGAUGCCAUAUUUUUAGAAGAAUUUCGCCAAAUCUUUGCCCACGAAUUACGGGCCGUUGUUGGUGACGAUGGAUUAAGGUAUGCCAAAUCGGCAAAUGAUGCUCUUUCAUAUGAAGCGCUCUAUGUCCGUUUGAAUUGUGAUCGUCAUGGGCUCUGCUUCUACCUAUUUGGUGAAAUAGUUGGUUGCCACGAUCAUCAUGCAUUUGCCCUUAGUAGUCUGGCUGGUGAUUAGCUGGGAAUCAGAAUGAAUUGAAAGCUUUUUCACCACCAAGUCUUUUGUCACUCGAAGGCCUGCUAGUGGGGCUUUGUACUCUGCUUCGUUGUUAGGUGCUUUGACGCUUAGAGUGAUCGCUUACUCGAGCAUUGAACCGUCUGGGGUGGCAAGAACCACGGUUACUUAUAAGCCUUUGUAGUUGGAUGCGCCGUCGACAUGCAAAUGCCAGAAAUUUCCAUUGAGGGAGUAGGUAUGGCUAAAGUGUGCUCGGCUACCUUCGAAGCGUCGUUGGGCCGCUUUGUUACAUUGUCAAGGCUAGGUUUGAAGGCGCGGUAGAGAGUCGUGGAGCUGGGGCCAUGUUACAUGUAGCAGGAGAUGCUCAACUUCCGGUAUUAGGCCACUCUAGAGCUGAAUAAUGGAGCAAAGGUCGGCUAGGGUCGUAUGACGCGCAGCAGAAGGUAGUGCUCGACUGCUAGUACAUGUUGCUCUUACGUAGAAUCUUCUGAGGCGACGAGGACAAAACUUGCUUUUAAGUGUUCCUUCUAGUGUUCGUCUGCCCUUGGCGUGUCUUUUGGGCUGAGUUGUUGCGUUCGUCAGAAAACUUUGCAUCUGCCAGGGUUUACGUCUUUAUCAUCACGGGUUUGGAUUAGGCGGAAUAGUGCGUCAUGAUGAUGACUGCGUACAUUUGAAGGUAAAACUUAAGCUUUUGGGUUACAACAACUAUCACCAAAGUUAGCUUUUGAAUUUUUAAUAGCAUCGAGGAGAGCUUUUGAACUAUAAAAUACAUGUAGUUGGGCCCCCAACUCUUCUCGCAUGACGGUACAGCUUAUUUCUACUUUAGAUACCGUCAAACAUGCGAAUAAGUCCUCUGCUGCUUCUAGGGAGGUGAUGUUGGGUACUUCUUCAAGCCCUUGAAUGUGCAUUGGCGAGCCUCAUCCCAAAGUGCAUGCUUCUCUGCCAAAGAAAAAGAGUCUACCAGAGUUAGAUAUUCUUUCAUGAUCAAUUUUCUAAAUAGCGGUGGUCUGCUGGAAGGCCUUUUUGGAAGGCUGCUCUAGCUAUUGAGUCGCUGCAUCCGACUAUCAUUGCCUUCUCUGUUUUGAAUCUCUUCACAUAGUCACGAAGUGACUCCUUUGGGUUCUUUUUUACGUCAAACAAAUGGUCGGACUUCUUUUUGAUCGAGCAAUAAGAUGAAUAUUCUUUGGUGAAAACCAAAGAAAGUUCGUAGAAAUUCUAGAUAGAUUGUGGCGGCAGGGUGUAGAACCAAUCUUGUGCCUCGCCUUCAUAGUGGUGGCGAAUAUCUUGCACAUGAGAUCAUCGUUGUUUCGAUAAAGGAUCAUUGUGCUUCGGUAGCGCUUUAAGUGUCUCUUCGGGUCUUCAUCCCCUUUGAAAGAUAUGAAAUGUUGCAUACUGAACUCGCAUGGAGGCUCUGCCAGCUCGAUCUCAUCCGUGAAGGGUGACCUGCUUAUGUUGGUCAUGUUCCGUCGUAGUGCCUCGUCGGUGACCUUGUUGCGUUAGAAAUCAUGCAAUCGCUUGAUUAAAAGUCUCUCUACUUCUUCCUGAAUUUUCAUUUGUUAGGGUAGCAGAGCUCUCGGCUGCCCCUAGCCAUAACUUACUGGUCUAGGAUGCUCUUCCAUGUGUUUGGCUCGUAUACCGUGGAUGCAGUGUAUGUGGUGCGGUCCUAGUAGGUGAGCGAGUUCUUCGCAGGCUGCUAGUUGAACUUGAGCUGGAUUGAGUGACUACUUCUCUCCGUCCGUCGUGCUGCCUACUCCAAUGUGAGGUGAAAGAUGCUCCUUGCAGGCUUAGCCACGAAUGAACACUUUACCUGGAAGGUUGCUCAUGUUGACUAUCAGAGUAUGACCCUAACCGUGAAUGUAUAUUCACCCGUGGGCUUAGUCGAGAGUGCACGCUCCUCCGCGCGCUAAGACGAGAGUAUACGUUAUCUCGGGAGCCCAAUUGGGAGUGUACACUGCCCGAACGCUCGGCUCGUGGCUGGUCGAGUGGCUGCUUGCCGAAACGCUGCGGGAAAGGUUCGUCUGCCCUUGUCCUACUUCGGGAUACCUUGUUUGGGGCACGUUGGAUUCUGGUGCAUUGCAAAAGUUGAUUCACCAAGGUUGUCUGUUGUGCAAGGGUGCUCGUAAACGCUACGACUUGUCGAGACAAGUGUUGUUCGUCAUUUGGAUUGGAAUAGCUUGGAAGGAAUGUGCCUUCUUGGGCAGUGGAAGGGUGGUAGACUCCGGGCUCGAGAUUUGAGUUGGGAAAUGUCAAAUCUACGAAAAAAUGUGGUGAGAAUGCCCCCGGCUCGAUGGUAGGUCCGGAUGGUUGAGAUAGUCUUGGGCCGACUUGGGCUGCUUGGAAAGCCACGGGAGCAGGCUGGGCCACGAGAGUGAGCUGCUCGGCAGGAGUAGGCUGGGCUACGAGAGUGGGCUGCUCGGCAGGAGCAAACUGCUUGGAGUGUGAUGCACAUGGGUGCGAGGCUUGGGCUCGGCUUGGUAACACAUUGAGUUCGGGUUUGGCUUGGAGUGACAUGACUUGGGCCGUGGCCUUGGUGUCGUGAGCCUUGGAUGGCACGGCUCGGGCAGUGGUAGCUGUGCCAUGGACCUCGCCGCGGGUAGUGGUGACCGUGAUGGCCACCGCGGUGGUUGCCAUGGUGGAGCCCCGUAGUGAUGGUGCCGCUCCUAUGAUCACAUUUAGCCUCGUGGAUCGUCGUGGUCCCAUUUCUUGAAUAUUAGAAUUUUCACUUAUGGAAUUUUCUAAAUUUCUAGCCAUUAUAUUUUUCUUAUACGUUUUAUCAAAGAACCUUUGCAAAUAAAAAAUUCUAAUAAUAAGAACGUAUGAAAAAAUAUUCAAAUGGACUAGAAAAUAGAGAAAAACCUUUUUAUGCGAGAGUCUUCUACGAGUAUAGAUCUCAACUCUCAAUGAAAGCACCAAUUUGUGGAUGCAAAUUUCUUCCUCCUUGAUCCUAGACAAUUUUGCACCUACAAAACAAUUAACACCUUAGGUUAAGGCCAAGAGCCUCACACGCCCACGAUGAAUGGGGGGGCUUUGGCCGAAGAACCUCUGAUGCCAAAGUUAGAAUUUAGAGAGAUAGAGUGUUCAGAGAAUUUUGAGAUUUUUGCCAAAGUGUUGGAAUGGAUUUUUGGUGAGAAUGGGAUCACUUUUAUAGGGAUAGGAAGUGGCCGGCCUAGCUAGGGUUUUUGGGUUUAAUUUAGGUUUAAUUAGUCAAUUUAUUUGGCUAAUUAAACCCUAAAGAAUAAAUUGGUGGUUACAAAAUUGAUUAUUUGUAUAAAUGGGGUAAUAAAAUGGAGAAAGGUGAAAAAGGUUAGGAAAAGGGAGGUGGCCGGCUUCUUAGUGGUUUUAGGUGUGAGUGGGUGUUUUAAUUGAUAAUUAAGGGAUUCAUUAGGUAAUUAAUCAAUUUUUAGGGAAUAUGAAAGGAAAAUAUUAUUUAGCUAAUUGAUUAGCUAAAUAAUGGAAUACAAAAUAUAUAGAACAAAUUAGGUAUUAGGAAUUACCUUAUAGAAAGGAUUUGAUGAAAUAAGCUUUAAAUUGUUACCUAUUUUGGGCACUUUUGACUUGGUUGAGGAUGAUUGUCUGCCGCUCACGCGUAGGAAUCUCGAUAUGCCUCAAGGGUAUUUUUGUUCUCUUUUACCCAAAAAUCCACGUGUCGCCUUGUGAUUAUUUUGGCUCCACAACAACCACGUCAGCAUUUAACAGACCAAUGGAUGGAAAAUCUAACGGAGGUAUUAUUUUGAAAUAAAAUAACAAGUGAGGUAUGAAAGUGAAAUGUUUUAAAGAUGUUGUAUGGGGUUGUAAUAGACCUCAAACUUGAGGGUCCUAUGUAAUUUACCUAUUUUUAUGUUAAUUAUGAAUAGGUCAAUCAUGUAGAACCAAAUUAAAAGCUAACAUCAAUAACAACUACCAGAGACAAAAGCUCUAAUCAAUGCUUCGGAAACAUAGUCUUGUAUCUCUAGGUGUAAUGAUAUAAUUUGUUGGAAACUUAAAAGAAAAUUGGUGAUUUUGUAUAUAAUCGAUAAAAAGUUAUAAUAGUGACAAUAUAUCAGUAAUAUUUAUGUUAAUUAGGAAUAGGUCAAUCAUGUAUUUAAUACUUACAUGCAUUUAAAAUAAACACCUUAUCAAUGUUUUUUUAACUGUGCUCAGUUUUUCUCCUUCGCUUUGGUUUUGUUCUAUUGGAUUUUUCAACUAUCAUUAAUUGUGAACAUAACUGAUCAUUGAGACACAAACAUCCAAGGGAGAGUACCGUGGAACAAAAUGUGGAUAUCUUUAUACAUUGUAUGGUAGUAAACCAUCAUAAACACCAUAAUAAUGUAGAAACGCUCUUGGGGUACCUUUGGAUGAUAACUCAUGUAUUUGUUGCCCUACGUAAAGAUGGCUAAUGAUAAUGGAAGUCUAAUUUUCUCAUCCCAAUCUCUCCUGUCUCUCUUGUUCUCUUUUCUCUAUAGUUUAUUUCCAACAAGUUGUGUUAUUUUUUUUUUUUAGUAUUGUUAAGCAACCAAUAGAUUUUAAUUAGCAGUCUUUGUUUUUUUCUUUUAUAUUUUUAAUCAAUUUCAGUUGCUUAUCCGUUCUAGCAAAUUGAGCUCUUUUACAGCAAUUUUUUUCUUUAAAUGAAAUUAUUAUUAUUAAAAGAGUGAGAAAAUUCGAAAUUAUUACAACAAUUUAAAAAAAAGAAGUUUCGAAUCAUAAACACAGAGGGAGUUUACAACAUUUUAAUUAAGAAAUUAGGCUUCAGCUCAACUCAUCUUUGCAACGUCGGUUCCACUUCACAUCAACAUGCAAUGUUUCAGAAGGUCACGCGGUUUUGGGGUUGUUGUGUACCAAUAAUAUUAUAUAUAUAUAAAUUAGGAUUGAAGGAUACACGCAUUUUGUAGAGCUUAUUUUGUUAUGUAUUUUAAUGAUUUAAAUGCUUACGUUUUUCUUCACUACAAAUGAGUGAAUUAAUGAUUUUAGAAUUUGUCUAAUUUUUUACAUUGAUUAUUUAUGAAUAUUGAAUUGAAAUAUAGACGAUUCAAAAAUCGUUGAUAUACAUUACAAAAUGAACUCCACAAAAUAAGCGUCAAAAUAUGUAUAUAAAAUGGACAGCGUGAAAGGCUUGGAAAUUGGAAUAGGUUUGAAAAUUGUGCUUUUUGUAGCAAAUUGUAGCAAAGUUUGCUUGGACUUUCACAACCGUAUAAAUUAUGCCGCAGCACUCUCUAUUUUCUCUCUCGCUCUAUAUCGUGGUCCCUCUCUCUCGCCGUCCUCGAUUGCUCGAACUCACUAUCCUUUAUUGCUCGAACUCACCGUCCUCAAUUGCUCGAACCCACUGUCCUUUAUUGCUCGAACUCACUGUCUCCAACUUCCUCUGUUUGGUUCCCGAUGAAGAUGGUAAAACAGUAGGGGCAAGAAAUUAUGACAAUGUUAGAUUUGCAUAUUAAUCUGGUAGGGCUACAAUUCUCCAAUCCACACCCCUUCCAUCUAUGCUAGUGUUUGUACCCAAUAUUAGAUAUCCGGUCUGUGCAAUCGAGAUCGUUGAAUGAGAAAAAUUCUAAGCCGUGGGAUCAAAUAUAAUGAUGUGGAUUAAAUAAGAAAAAUUUAAAUGUUUAUCUUGGUUGAAUUACCAUGAUAAUAUUGUGGAAUUAUCUUCUGCAUAACGGGAUAGCGAGAAAAGUCCAAGGGUGUAGGGAAGUUGUGUGGCUGACUACCGCUUUUUUUUAUGGUGUCAUUAGUAGAGUAAUAUCACACUUAACAUUUAUUUGUACCAUCUCUCUAAUAAAGAUAAAGACCAUCAAUGCAUAAAUAAUGAUACAAAUAUAUAAUAAGAGUAUCAUAUUUGUAACUAGAAUAGGAGAAGAAAGACUUCAAGAUGGGGUCAGCCAAAUAAUUAGCGUCAGGAUAAAAAUAUGAGUAAUGAUAUUUGUAAACAUCGAAAUUUCGGUAAAUAAAUGUUGACCGAUAAAUCAAAGUUUCAACGCUCAUGUAUUACAUAAAUUUUACACGUAGCGUAUGUCUAAACAAAAAAUCGAAAUAAGUUGGAAAAGUCAUCAAACAGGACACAUGUCAACACCUGGCAGAAACGACUUAUUUCAUCUGGAAUAUUAUAUUCAAAAUUAGGCAUUGGAAAAUUCUAUAAAUAGAAGCCAAUUUCAUUCAUUUGAAGGAACCAAAAUCAUUAGGCAAAAUUCUUGAAGCUCUGAAGCUCUGAAACUCCGAAACUCUCAAGCAUCCAGGUUCCCGAAGAAUCAAGAAAGCUCUCUUCGUUCUUCGUUCUUCGUUCAUCGUUCAUCCUAAGAUCAAGCUCCAACGGCCCUUUAGAUCAACAAUCAUCCACUAAUUCAAGAUCAAGCCCCGACGGCCCUUGAAGAAAGUGUUCUUCAUUCUUCGUUCAUCGUUCUUCCAAGAUCAAGCCCCAACGGCCCUUUGGAUUAACAAUCAUCCACCAAUUCAAGAUCAAGCCCCAACGGCCCUUGAAGAAAGUGUUCUUCGUUCUUCGUUCAUCGUUCUUCCAAGAUCAAGCCCCAACGGCCCUUUGGAUUAACAAUCAUCCACCAAUUCAAGAUCAAGCCCCAACGGCCCUUGAAGAAAGUGUUCUUCGUUCUUCGUUCAUCGUUCUUCCAAGAUCAAGCCCCGACGGCCCUUGGAUCAACAAUCCACCAAUUCAAGAUCAAGCCCCAAAGACCCUUGAAGAACUUCUACCAAUUCAAGAUCAAGCCCUGACGGCCCUUGAAGAAAGUGUUCAUUGUUCAUCAUCCGUUCAUCCCGAAGAAUCAAGAAAGCCUUAUUCGUUCUUCGUUCAUCGUUCUUCCAAGAUCAAGCCCCGACGGCCCUUGGGUCAACAUCAUCAACAAAUCCACACAUCCAACCGUUCUUCAAGAUCAAGCCCAAAAGCCCUUGAAGAUCCGUUCAUCACCGUUAUUCAAGAUCAAGCCUUAACGGCCCUUGAAGAAACACUCAUCCUCAAGAUCAAGCCCCAACGGCUCCUUGAAGAUCCGCUCAAAUCCACCUUCAAAGAUCAAGCCCACGGCCCCUUGAAGAAACAUCCAACAGUUCAUCCAAGAUCAAGCCUCGACGGCCCUUGGAUCAACGAAACAUCUACAAAUCAACACCUUACGGAGAUCGAAUCAGAUGAUCAAAUUAGAGAGAGAUUGUAACCCUAAAUCAUCAAAAUACAAAUAUUAUUUUGUGCACGUUGUUCUUAUCUCUUUCGUUUCAGGAAAUUUUCGUGUUCACAAUAUUCUUACCAUCUAAAUAUACUAUAAUUUUAUACCAUCUUAUGUGGCAAUUGAGAUGGACUUCCACAUAAGUUUUAAAAAAAUCUCAUGUCAGCUAAGGUGGAUAUUUACGAUUUUACGAUUUUACUCAAUGAUUUUUAUUAAUAAAAUAAUUAAAAAAUAAUAAUGAAACCUACUUGCUCCCGUUUUCAAGCCUCAUCGCUGGGCCUCCUCCCUCUUCGCUCUCCAAUUUCACCUUCCUUCACCAACGAUCGAUGGUGCUCGACCCCCUUCAUCAUUGCCAACUGGCCGAAUAUCUUGAUGGUGCUCCCAGUGAUUGUUUUGCUCUGCCACCAAAUCAAGUUUGCAAUUUUAAUGGUUUAUGCCUUCUGGCCAAGUGUUGGAUUUGAUAGGUUUUUAAUUCCAGCAACAUUGAACAAAAAUAUGAAAAGGAUUGGAUACGAUAUUUUCCUCUGUUCUACUGCUGAGGAUUUUCCGAAUAGAAGAAGAUUUGGAAGACAACCUCUUUUCUUUUUUCUUCAUGGACUUUUGGUUAGCACCAAAAUCUUUUCCUAAUCCUCUAUAGGAAUGAAAAUUUCAUUCCAUGUUAUAUCCCGAUGUUGUCCAAGGUUUUGGCUUGAAUUUUCAUUGGAAUUAUCAUAUGUUGGAUCAGAUCAGGUGGAGAGAUGAAACGUAUCUAACAAGGAAGUUGAACGGGUAGGGUUUGAGCAAAAAUAAACAGAAAUUCCACCUAGGUUGACACCUAAGCUUCCACAUCAUGUGGUAUACUAAAUGUGGUAUAAUAAGAUGGUAAGAAUAGCAUUAUUGAAUGGGUAAUGUUAAGAGAAAUUUUUAGUUGUGACGGGAACACGGAUGGUACACCAUGCGUUUUUAUGUAAAUGGUGGAAAAUUUUAAUUUUUAAAUUAUUAACCUUUUAGCACACAUAUCCCACCAUUUAUAUGAAAACACGUGAUGUAUCACCUCGUGUGAUAGUCACAUUGAAAAAUCUCUCGUAAUGUUAGGAAAACUAAAUUUAUAAACAAAAGUUACAAAUUAAAUGAUGGGUUACCAAUAAGAAUGAUUACGUUUAUCAAUGCUUAAAUAAUAAAUCAUUCAUCAACUUCCAGUCCUUUAGUUUUUAAAAUUUUGUCUAACAUUACCCUUUCAAAACUCAUGAAAAUAAUUUUCAAUUUUUUUAACUGAAAAGUGAAAGUUACUAAACAAGAUUUCAGUUUUUAGCUUUCAAAAAAAUAAAAACAAAAGCUAAAAAUAAAAUGGUUAUCAAACAUCCCUAGAAGUCAUUCUUAGUGAUAGUAAGGUCAUCUCCAACCGAAAGAUCCAGGGGGCUAGAGGGCCGAAAAUAGUCUGAAAACCAUUUCCAAUCAAAGGCCAUGCCAAAGGGGUCGUGGACCCCAUUAGACAAAAAAGGGCCAAAGGGCCAACUGGCUGGCCCCAGUUCCAACAAUAACUAGAUGACGUCAGUUAACCGUUAUUUUUGAAUUUUUUUUUUAACAAAUUUUAACUUUCUAAGCCAUUAAACAACAUUAAAUUAAGUAAAAAAGAAAAUUCCUAUAACUUCCUAAGUCAUUAAACAAUAUUAAAUUAAGUAACAUGAAACAACAUUAAACAAUAUUAAACAAAAUUAAACAAUAUUAAACAACAUUAAAUAACAUUUAACAACAUAAAAAUUAUACAACAUAAAAAAAAACAUUUAAGAACAUAAAAUUUAAAUGCCUACUUCAUGCUUCUUUUGGCCCAAAGAUGUGCAACAAGAUCCUAAUGUAGGUACUUGUUUGUGGCACGAGAGCGUAUCAUCCUAACCGUUAGAUUUGAUUUUUUUUUGUUUUCGGCCAAAUUUUUUUAAAUUUAAAAAUAAAUUAUGUUUGACCUUUUGGCCCUCGAUUGGAGAUAGUUUUUUUUGUGACAUGACUAUGUUUAGCCCUAUGACCCUUUGGCCCUCAGUUAGAGAUGGUAAGAAAUAUGACCCAACAAUGUUCAUUAAAAUAUUAAUUUCUUGAAGAGCCAGAGGGCUAAAACGAGCCAUCCUUCGGUUGGAGAUGGCCUAAGAAGAGACUAGAGAUAGAGAGAUUCCUAUACUUAGCUGUGAGAGUUUCCUAUAUAUGAUUUUCAUUAACAAGAUUGAACUGAUUACAUAGAGAAGAAGAUCAAGUAUGGUUAUUUUUAUUUGGGAGACUUUGGAUGUGGUCCUUAGUUAUGAAUAUUAUUUGAUUGAAAUCUUGUUGGUUUUUAAUUUUUUAUCAAGAUCCCUGAAAUUAAUGUGAUAAUUUAUUUCUAUGUAAGUUACUAUAUUUUUUUAAUUAGAAAUUAGAAAUUUUAGUUGUUUAUAUAAAUGAGAUUUUAAAUUAAAAAAACCAUAAUUUGUGGGAUUAAAAAUAUUAAAAUAUAAAUAUACUAUUGUGUGUGUGUGUGUGUGUGUGUGUGUAUAAAUAUGGGUACAUUCAUCAAAAUUAACCAAAAAAUUUAUUGUAUCAAAACAUGGGUACAUUCUUCAAAAUCACAAAAAAAGAAAGAUAUUAGGCUUAAUAACAUUAGUAAAUUUCUUCGAUUAAACUUGACAUGGAUACAUUUUAAAAUCAAAGAAAAAAAAUGUACCCAUAUAAGUUUAAAAAUGGAUUAGAAAAAAAAAUUGAAUAGAUUUUAUACAAAAAAAGGGUACGUUUUACAUAUAACAAAUUGGUAUAUUUAAGAAUGAGUACAUUUUAAGAUUAAAAAGUUUUACAUGAAUGGGUUCAUAUAAUUAGCAUGGGUACAUUUAGCAAAAUAAAAAGUACAAAUACAAAAAAAUAUAUGUGUACAAAUACAAAUAAACUUUAAAAAAUAUGGGCACAAAAAGAAAUUAAUAUAUGGGUACAAAUUAAAACCGAAAAGAAAAUUGGUACAAGUUAAAAAAGAAUUACAAAUUAAAAAUGGGUACAAACUAAAACUAAAAAUAUAUGAUAAAAAAUUUAGUCAUAAAUAUAAAUAUACUAAUUGUAACAUUUUUAACAUUAAAUGAAUAUAUUUAGACAUAAAAAAUAUAUUUUAUUAUUGAAAUAAUUAAUGAUGUUAUUAAUACCCAAGGACCUUGAUAAAAAAUUGAAAAGAAAUAGAAUUUUAAUCAAUGGAGUAGCAAAAGAAAAGAUGAGAACCUAAUUUCUCCUUUGUAUUGUGUAGACAUUAUAACUAUACAUUCAUAAUAACAUGAGUAAUGUUAUAUUUAUCACAUUUGUACUCUUUCUCCAAUAAAGAUAGGGUCCAUCAACACAUGUGGGUUCUAUUUGCCCAUCAACACAUGCGAAUCUCAUUUUUAUUAGAAAAAUAGUACAAAUAUGAUAUGGAAAUUAUGAUAAGAUCGCAAUUUUGUAAUAACAUAUAUACUCAACUAUUUAUAUACCAACUCAUCUCCCUUUAGUGUAGUUAAUAUUGUUUGUUCAACCAAAAAAAAAAAAACUGAACUUGUCAUAAUCAUUGAAUCCAUUUACCAUGAACAAACGGCAGUUUACUAAACUUGCCCUCAGAGUAUAUAUAAAAGGUGAAUCACAAUCUAUUGCAUUAAUAUAAGGAAACAAUUUAUAGGGUUUGACGGGUGACUUAAUAUGCUAUAUGGCACAAUGAAAAUUAAGUUCACACUUUAUCCCAAAUAAGGUGUUGCACCUUUAAUUUAUGGAUGCUGGUUUGACGUGUGACCGAAAUAAUCAAAUUGUAGCCAUUAAUCAUUUUACAAGUAAUAAUAUGUGGUUUUAUUGUUUACGAUUCACACAACAAUCUGCUAGGAAGUAGAAAAUGCAGUACUUGUCCCUCUCACAGAAGUCAUGAAUAAUUAUCAAAUUCAAAGAUAAAGAAAAACCACACAAUUUACAAGAGGAAAGAAAAUGAAGGGAUAAAGAAAGUAAGAAAGGAAUACCUCUAUGGGAGGACUCUUAUUUGCUUCAGAUGCCUACAAUAUUCAUCAUAUAAACACUGAUUAAGUAGUCAUCGAAAACCAAAACAAAUGUCGAACAUAGGGUGAAAAACAGAAAGAAUAACCGCAGCUCAUCAUACCAAUAGAGAUAGAACUGCCCGAUGCCCAAGUAUGACUGAAAAAUGGCAAUCCAAACAUGGCGCCUUCUAGCUCAUCAAACUGUCAAAACCUAGGUUCCACCAAAAAGAUACAAGUCACCUAGUUACUUGUAAAAUAAAAAUCUGUUUCAAAAUAGUGGAAAAUAUUAUUAACAUUGUUCAAAGUCCACAUUGUUGUACCUACCAAGAAACAAGAAGGAUUGUAUCUUAUCAUGAAAAAGAACAUAGGUACCUUUUCAAUUGUAAUUGUACAAAAAUGAGAGACCACUUCCGAACUUCUCUUGGAACUUCAAUCAAUUUCUGCCCACUUUUAAAUGCCUUGACAUACUUAAGCCUAUUUCUUUGAGCUUCAGUUUUGGCUUCUGAUGCCUUUAAAUUUCUUAAAGAUUCUUACCAAGUUUUACAAACUCACUUCUAUACAACCAUUUGUCAGUAUACAUACCAUUUUCUUUGAGCUUCAGUCUUUGCAACACCAAAACCCCCCAAAUAGACCCGGAAUUUUGCAAUGUGCAGGGAAUAUACAAAAAAAACCCUCCUAUCCAUCUAAAACGAAAUCAGAACGCAAACCACAAUCAAAAUCCGUAAAAUUAAUUUAGCCAACCCCUAAAUCUAAUAAUUCUAACAAAUAUUAUAGUAUCAAUUGAGAGAGAAUUUGAGAAGAUACCUAGAGAUGAAAGGAAGAGCGUUUCCUCUGAUAGGGGUUCCGUGAAAGCAUCUGUUGACCAGAAAAGAAAAGGCAAAAAACCCCAAAUUACAUAUCAAGCAAUUAUAGAUAGAUCGAACCUUGAAAAUUGAAAUUUCAAACAAGAGAAAGGUUAUAAACUUACAACGAUCUGGGUGUUGGUAACUGGGUUUGGAUUUGGGUUUCUGAUAAGAGAGAGAAUCGUAUGAGGAACCGAUAGAGGAACUGCACCGGCAACAGAGAGCAAUUGAUAUGGUGGAGAACAGACGAGAAUAGCUGCUUGGAUGGUCAAUCCAAGAAGAGAAAAUCUUGCCACAAUCGCGGUACUUGAAAAAAAAAAAAACAAGUUUAAAGGAGGGAAACAAUCGCGCCUUUUUCUAAUAGACUCUGUCGACGAUAUUCUUGACAAAUAGAUGCUUCGUCGGGUGAGCUUAUUUUUCACAACAUUUUAUUUAGGAUUGGGUUCGGUUGGUAAACCGUGUCAAAUUUCUUGUGCCACUUGCCAGCCACAUAUACAUAAUUACCGAAAAUCAGUUACCGUUAGCCAACCGUCUUCUUGCGGUUGCCAAAAAUCGGUUCAGCCAAAAUGAUUGGCUGGUUCGGUUGGUAAAUGGCACAACCGGUGGUUUCCACUUCUUCCUCGCUAUCUUCCAGUUCCAAGGGCUCAAUUUGAUUUUCAGAUUGGGAUGCUUGUUCGGUUGCAUUGUGUGGUUCAUUUUGGGUUAAUCCAUGUUGUGCACUAGUAGUUGAUUGGCUAGACUCCAUUAUCCUAAACAUAAGCAACAAAUAUACAUUCAAAAUAAUAUAUAUGUACGUGUAUAUAUAGUAUCAGUAAUCAUCAUGCUAUCAAUUUUGUUAACAAUAUUUUCUAUAUAUUGAUUUUGGCAUGAAUCAUAUACACAUACAUAUAUUUUUAAAACCCUAAAACUAAGGAGUCAUUUAUUUUCUAAACUCUAAAAUUGAGGAGUCAAGCAUGUAAAAAAAUACUUAAAAUAUCUAAAUAGAAAAAGAAAAAGAAAAAAAAAUAAAUAUAUAUAUAUAUCGGUAGGUAUGGCAUACCGCCGGCAUACAAAAUCAAUUACCAAAGCCAUGCCAUUAAUUGUCGGUUCGGUAAAAUGCCAACCGAUUAUGAAAAAAUGUCAAAACUAUACCAUACCAUUUUGAGCCAACCAGUAUGGUUUGGUCAGUAAAUCGGUUUAUGGCAAAAUUUCUCACCCCUAAUUUUAUUUGUCACCUUAAACCUAUUGGUUUCUAGCCUACAAUUCGGAUAUUUUGUUGGGGAAAGAUUUUUGUACCAAUAAAAUUUUGCUUUGUCGGCAAAAUGACAUUUUCUAGUAGUUAUAAUAUUAGGUAGAUCAAAUUUGUAAACUAUGUGAUGUGUCACUAAUAGGAAAAAAUUUCAGUGUGCUGAAAAUACGGUCUAGAACACCAAGUGUCAUAAUAUAUACUUGGUUGGAAAUCUUUUAUUUUCAAGUUUCCAACUAGUUGUAUUGUAACAGUUGGUGUUCCAAGCUAUUUUCUCCAUGCGCUGGAAAAUCUCUUCACUAAUUAAAAAUAAACAUAUUAAUUAACACUUAAGUAAUAAUCAAAGCAUCAACAACUACGUCAUAGAAUUUACGAAAUAUGAUCUUAAUUAAUGAUCUCCAUUACCCUUUAUCUUAGCGUAUACGUACGCCUUCACAUGUUUAUUUGCUGAUAUGCAGCUUGAGUAAAAAUUUCUUUUUAAGAACAUAUAUGUGAAUAUAAACAUAUAUAUCUAGUGAUCCAUGUUGCGUUAUUUAAAAAUAAACAAAUUAAUUAAUUAAUGAACUGUGUACCUGUCUGUGUAGAGUAAUCCAUAUGCAUGCUUGAAUCCUGAUCACCACGAAACCAUAAUAUAAGCUACUCAAGGCCCGGAAGCUAGGAUUGAAGAGAAAAACACCCAGUCAGAUUAAGCCAAUACAUCAAAGUUAAUACUUCCAAAUGUAAGCUUUAAGAUAGAAAAAUCACUUACUUCCUUGAGCAGUCGAGCUUCUUCAAUGGCAUGAAGCUUUUAGCAUGAGAUUGACUGCAUCACAACUAAAAUUUUCUCUUGGAAACUACAUAAGGAAUAGCAUGUAUACCUAUAACGUUGAGAAAGUACGCCAAUUUUUUCCUUCUGCACAUUCAUGUUUAAAAGUAAUCCUCAAAUGAACUUGCCCACAAUGAAAUGCAAUUUGAGGUAGUCGAGUGUGUUCCAUUUCCAUCCCAUCGGAAUUACUACUAAACUUUGAGAUGGUAGAGGAUUCAUGAAAUUUUUUACUUUUGAAAUAGUCUCCUUAGCAUUUCUCGACUAUAACAAUGAGGAAAUACUUCACCUUGUAUCAAACAAGGGAGACCGAAAAUCAACUACUAAUAGCAUCACAGAGCCAGCAGAAGAUUGAGGAGGCCAUGAAAAGGAAAGAGAAAAUACACUCUUUUUUUGUAAGGACAGAGAUAAUACAUUCAAUAAAGGGUACUGAUGUUUAUAUGCAAAGCUGAUUAGGUUUAAAUAGUCGUAUUUAUUCUGUACAGUGCCAAUAUUACCACCCGUUAGUACACUUUCAAGACACUGUAAUCCAGUGUAUGCACUAUGCAGUACGUAGUACUCCUCAUUUUUUUGGGGAAAUUCAUUAUUGGUCUUCAUAUCUUCUUUAUUUUCCUUGUCCUCAUUGUGCCACGUGUUUAAAUCACUAAUUAUAGGUAAUCUUUCAAUUUAAUUAAAUCUUAUGUAAAAAAAGAUAAUUAAAUAUCAUUUAGUAUUACAAUAUAGUGAUAUUCCUCUUUAGUAUAAAAUUUUUAUAAUUAAAAGCGUUCAGCUUUUUAAUCUUCAUUGGAAUAUUAUCUAUAAAGAAAAAUUAUUCGAAUCAGAGAUCAUUUAUGCAUUCAAAUGUAUAAAAUACAUCGACAGUGUGAGAACCAACUAAUAUAUUUUUGAUGAAGUACAAUUAUUGAAUACAUUUGAACGAUCAAAUGAUAUAUGAUUCAAAAUACAUAUUAAGAUAAUAAAUAUAAAAGAAUUGUUAUUUGCACUUCAAGAAUCUCAUUCUACACUCUAAAUUUUCUAUAUAUUAAAAGAAAAAUAAAUUUGUGAAAAGUGUAGAAUGAGGUUUUUUUAAAUGCUAAUAACACUUCUCUAAAUACAAUUAUGAAAUUAAUUAAGUAAAGAUACAUGACCUCGUGAAUGAUGAAUGUAUUAUUCAAAAAAAUAUUAAAAACAAAUUGAAAAAGGACGCUGUUGUUGCCACCACUUAUGCAAUGAUCGUCGCUGCCAUCACCAACCCCCAACACCCCAUUACAGCUCAUAAAAGCACAUCAUAAGCAAUUUAUGAAAUAAAUUUACUGGAAUACUAAUUUCCCCCUUAGUUUAGGUCACCAAUGUUUAAAUUUAGGGAUCGUGAUAUCCACACACAUUUUUUACUUCUUUCACACUUUUUUUUUCGGUUGUCGGAUCAGAUGAAUUGAAGAAAAUCAAUGAACAGAAAUUAACAAGGGGUGUGUGAGAAGUAAAAAUGAAUGUGUGGAUAACACACCCCUAAAUUUAUCACAACUUUCAUUCCAAAUUUAAUUUUUAUCCGUAGUUUUGUUUGUUCAAAUUUACUUUGACAUUUCCAUUAGUAUUAAAAUCUAAUUUAAAUUUUAGUGUUCAAGCUAGAAAAAGUGUUCCAUUUAAUAUUUAAUCUCAGUUUUUCUCUUUAUUCUUUUAUUGGGAUUUGGUUGCAUCGUAUCUCCAUUUUUCUCGGUGUUGUAUGUUCAUAAGGCCUGUGAAACGUUGGCACGGAGUGAAGGGUACUCACUUUUUGGCCCAAAAUGCAUAAGGCAUGUAGAUAUGUUAAUCAAAUUUUGUAAACUAAAGGAUAUAGAAGUUGAUAAUUAGAUUAUAAUUUAAGAUAAUACUAAGGAGACUAAAUUUGCAAACUAAAUGAUGUGUCACCAAUAAAAAUAAGCACGUUUAUCAACAAUUAAGUAAUAAAUCAAUCAUCAACUUUCAUGUCCUUUAGUUUCCAAGAUUUAAUAUACAAAUUUAGUCUCCCAAGCAUUACUCUAUUACUUAAGUAUUGAUUAACAGACUUAUUUCUUAUGGUGACACAUUAUUUAGUUUACAAUUUUAGUCUACCCAACAUUACUCUUUUGAAAUUGUCUUGUCCACUGAUAUAAUUCUAUUUUUCUUGUGAUCAAAACUUCAAAUGUUAGCAAGUCGCACGUAAAGUCGCUUAUGAGAGAAUGUGCUCACAUUGUAGUUGAAAGAUUAUGUGGCUAGCAACAUUACAAAUUUAAUUUGGUAUAAUUCUAAAAUAUAGAUUGAGGAAAAAAUGAUCACAUUAACUAGAAACUGAAAAGGUUUCAGCACAGUUUGUUCAAGCAAGAAAUUCAAUUUUGAUGCUACCGAUCUUAACAGCCUGAGCGCCGUACCUGGGCACCAAAGUCACCACCACACUCUCAUCAUCUUCAGCACCCAAAUCCUCCAACAGGUCCGUUAACCCCAACCUUAAACAACUCUUGCUCUUUUCCUUCUGCUUAUGUGGCACACUCACAAAACUCCCAGCAAACUCGCUCUUGUCGGGUCCACUCGGUGCCGCAUCCUCAUCGUCCACGUCAUUCACAUACACACAUCAAACUUCACAGCCACAUCUUUGUCAAGCUCAAUCCCCUGAAUCACCAAUAUCUCCUCCUCAUCCUCUUUCUCCUUCUUGCUCCUCUUCUUCGGCUUCGGCCUUGACACCACCGUACUUAUCUUCGUCUCCAAAUUUAUU